CUGAUCGUCGUUCUGCAGAGCCCACUGCAAGUUCGUUCCAUCCAGAUUGAUCGCCACAUGGUCCCGGUUUGAAGCGGUUCAGAGGAUCAUAUUGAGUCAAGAGCAUCUGUCAUAUGUGAUCAUCUAAGGUUUGUUUAUUUUGCAAAGCUCUUCGAAGUUUUCAAGAGUGUGCACUCACUAGUACCUUGUCCUGGUCAACCUUUUGAGUGCCAAACCGGUUACCUUGUUUACAAAGUGAAGUACUUGGUAUGAGCAAAAAGUGGAUUAGACAAACAUGGUUAGUAUCAUUACCGUUACACUAUAUCCUUAAGAAAUCCAUGUAUUAUAUAGUUGAAAUAAAGUUAAAUAUACUUUAUCGUACUUUAAUUAGCCACAAUAUUGUAUUCAGUGAUGCAUUUGGCCUUCCUUGGUCACUUUAAAUUGGUUAAGAAAUAAAGUUAUGACUAAGCUAGAACAUGCUUGGAGGGUAAAGAGCAUGAGGGUUAAAACCCAUCUUGCUUCACAAACAAAAAUAUAAUAAAGCAUGACUACAUUCUUAGAUUAGGAGAUUGAGAUAGGACAUAUAACACUUUAUUGAUCUUGGCAAGUAUGAAAUAUGUUUUAGAACAAUGUCUUUUGAAUUAUAUGGCAAGUUAUAGAAACUAACAAUCUUAUGUGAAGUAGAAUGUACAUGCUAAGAGACACAAUAGUGACUGCAGUAAAACUUUCUUUUAUUUUAUGAUAUUUAACUUUCAUAUAAACUAAAGGUAAUCUAGGAUCCACUACCAAAUGAGCUACAUCACAACCAAAAUAAAUAAUGGAAAGCACUAUCCAUACCCUCAUAGAGCUAAUAUUAAUAUAAAGUUGGUGAUAAAACUUAAAAUUGGAAAUACAACCUCAAAGGACAAACAAAUUUUAUAAAAUUCAAAAUUAAGCUAGGUGGAGAAUGGCUAUCUGCAAUUUCUAAAGGGCUGUUUUAGUUAUUGGAGUUGCCAUAUGUAGUGCUAUUGCAAUAUAGUUUGCAAAUGGGAUGCUUUUCACAUUUGCUAGUAUACAUUGCAUUGAUAAGUUCAAAUAUAGAAGGUAUUGUUCAUCCAAGUUUAGCCCAACAUGACAGAGUGAAAAAUGCUUGAUUCUGGAUUAUUGCUAUAUACUACUCAAAAAAAAAAAAAAAGCAUAAGAAACAUCAUAAAAAGCUAGAACUAAAUACUUAUGGCAAAGUACCACCUUCAUCACUAUAUAAAAACAGUUUAAGCAAGAGUUCAAUAUAUUUGUUGCUUAAUAUUCUGACUAUAUUAUAAAAACAAUAAAUAUAUUAAAGAAAUAGAAAGCAUAUAUGUAUUGAGAUGAUCUAUAAAGCAAAAAGUUCUAUAAAUACUUUUCAAUCAGUUAAAGGUUUUAGAAUAUUUAAGGUUAAAUAUCCUUUAGUUUGAGUAGUAUUGGAUUGGAUAAUUUUCAGGUUAAAUGCUCUUGAGUUUAAGUAAUAUUGGAUUAGAUGACUUUCGGGAAGUCCAAAUUCAAAAGUUUAUAUGUAUAUUUUUACAAUUUUGUGCUCCAUUAGUUGAAACAAAUUAGUUGGAACAUAAGAAGUUUUGAAAUAUUCAUUAUUUCAAAAUACUCAAACUUCAUGGAUGUUUUAAAUUGUAACUCAAUGUGCAAUAUUUGGUAUAUAAAAGCCGCAAGACACAACUCUCUUAAGAGCUUUACUCUCUUGACACUUUACCCUAAACUACUAAAUAUUAAUCUUAAUGCACUUUUAUUUAUAGGUUUUUUUCUUUUAUAUUUGAACCUUAACAGAUUGUCUUUCGAGUCAUUCUCUUUAAUUUCUUAUAAUUUACCAUGCAUUAGAUGCAUCUAUAAUGUUAAUAUCCUCCAUUUACUUGAAUAAUUACUUAUAAAAUCAUAUCACUUUUUCAUAAAGCUAUAGAGAUGUUUAAUGUGCAGGAAGAAGAAAACCAAAAUUUAGAAAGAUUUAAGUGUAUAUUUUAUACUUAGUUUCAUGUUGAGAUGUCAUGGAUAAAAAGGCUAACUUAGGAGGCCCAUAUUCUAUUUAUAUCCCUCUUCAUAUUGUUAGCCUCUACUUUAGUGCAUGAUAUCUUCUAAUCCAUUUUGGUUGGCCAAAUUUGCGAAUAGCAUAUGAAUAAAUGUUGAAAAUUCUAUAUGACUGUUUUGUAGUUGAUAAAUAAUGUAAUCUACAAAUCAUUGUAUAGACAUUUAUAAUACACUAUGAGAGCAAGGCAUGAGAUAGUAACAUAAAAAAGUUUGAAAACCAAAUCAAGUACUUGCAAUCCAUAUAGCAUAGUGCAUAAUACACUUUGUUGGUAUAUAUCUACCUCUGAAUCUUAAACAAGUGCCUUUCUGUGAGCCUUAUAAAGUUUUAUAUAGCUAAAGUGUCACAAAUUUGAUGCUGGCUAAAAUAGUAUCUUACUAUUUGACAGUUGAACAAGCAUUCACAAUCCCCAAUAUAGUAAAUGAUUCAUGAGAACAUUAGUGUGGACAUGAUGAAGUAUCUCUGAUGGUGAUAUUCUAUUAUAAAUGACUCUCUAAUUUACAUAAAAAAACCUCAUAUAUUUGUACAAUAUUGGCUUUGAAAUCUAUAGAUAAAAUACCAAGUAAUCCAUUGUUUUCGUUUCACAAAUCUUAAAAUGCAUUCAUAAAUAAAAAAUAGUUAGAUUGCUAGUUUGACAUAUAGUAUAUAUAGUCAAGUCUAAGAAACAUGAGUAAAUUUCUAUUGUUAAUUUCAAAUUUCUUUGUUAUACAUAACAACAUUCUUUUGCUUAAGAAUUUUGCCAAGUCUUAUAAAAGUGCAAGAUGAGAAAAAUGGAUAGUCUAUCCUAUAUGAUUUAAAGUAUUUCUCAACAUCUUAGAGUGAUAACAAGGAACAGUAUAUAGAGGUAUUUAAUUUUCUUAAAUUCUUAAGGAUCUGAUUGUAAAAAUGUCAAUAUUUCCUAGAUUCUUUCCUUAUGAAUCAUGUCAUCAAAAGAAAAUAAAACUAUUUAACUAUUUCAAUUGUGAAUCACUUUGCCAUUGCCCUUGAUUUUUCAAUACCAAUACCCUUAAUUUUGGACUCCACCAAGACCCCACUGACAAAUAGUCCUCACCUAAAAAAUGACCCUAAUCAAAUGAUGAGCAAACAUAUGUCAUUAGCAUACCAUAGUUAUGCAUAAUAGACAUGUAUGGCUAACAUCUCAUCAUACUAAAUGCCCAUUGGAUGUACAUAAUAGCAACAUAGUUAUGGUGGGCCAAUGAAUGUCACCAUAUGGCAGAUGUAAUAUCAUGCAAUAUGGAAUUUUUUCAUGUAGCACCGGUUUAUGAAUACACCAUAGUUGUUUGUUUGAGCAAGAUAUGAUUUUUGGUGCAAUGGUAUUAAUUUUAUUGUGAUGUUCAAGCACGUAUUAGAAGAAAACAACAAACAAUUAGAGAUAGUAAGGAAGACAACCGAGAAGGAGGAGAAAGACAAGAUUCUCCCGCUGAACUUGUUAUUUGUAAUUUUGCACAAAAAAAAAGUAUGAAAAAUAAAUUAAUGAAGAAAUACUAAUGUGUGCUUUCUUGACCUUUAUUAUAAACGUUAGUUAUAAUUGUAAAGUCCACAACUUGUCCAAAAGUGCAUUCUUGUUAAAGGAGAAUGUCCACCAAGCUUGCAGUUUCACAUGAAAAUUGAGAGUAACUAUGUGAUCAAAGGAAUAGAGACAAUGCUCACCACCACUUUGAAUGGGAUUCAUCACAAGAAAGCUAGGCAAUGGCUUCAUUGGGAACACCACUUUCUAGAAGUAUGGUUUCACCUCCAUGAAAUUUGAAGGUAGUGACUUUUUGGAAGGCCAAUGUGACACUACACGCAGUGGCCAUGGAGGACAAUUAGAUUCUAGGCCCACGCUUAUGUGGAGCAGGGUCUUCUACCAUUGCCAAAGAUUCAAAUAUGAUACCAUGGAUGGGCAUAUGCAGACACCAUUGCAUUGCACUUUGCUUUGAAAUCCUUUCAAAAAAAUCUCUUAGUGUAUUGCUUUGCGACACAUUGCAUUUCUGGGCAUGGGGCAUCUUGCCAAUCCAUGGAGACUGAUCGCAAUUCUCCAAGAGAUCCUAGCGGGAGCAAUUGCCAUUCCGAGACCAUUAUUAAAUGUGUGAAUUUUGUUGACUAAGGAGAAGAAAGUCAGAUUUGUGCCGUCCAUUUGAAGGAAAAUCUUGCAAUGAUCAAAACUCCUUGGUUACAAUGCCAGCCCAAUAUCUUUUCACUAUUAAUUCCCUCUCUUAUCAUGCAGCAGACUCUAAAUUCUUGUUGCCCCGAGUAUUCUCUUGUGCCAAUAGCUUGUAAGCCACAAAAUUUUCCUUUCCAAUUUGCUAGCUUACCUCGUCUAUCCGACCACCUCUGCUUUGGCUUGUGCUAAGUUCCCUCGCCAAAGUUCCCGCCUAUGGUACCAGCUCCUACUUGGUCCUACUUGGUUUCAGCUACUUACUGCACGAGUAACGGAGUGUUAGCCAUCCAUCUACAGAUUCCCAAAUCUCUCCCAAUCCCCCUCCCCGGGUUAGACUGGACUUAAGGUUCGGCUACACUCCCCGCAGGCACAAGCAGCCAAGCACACCAAGCCUCCAGAUUCCUAACACCCCUUGGUACCACAAGACUUGAUCAUGGGACCCUCUAAAUCCCAAGUCUUGGGUGUAGCACUUGCUUCGGGACGUCAGGCGAAACACUGUGGCCUAACGGCCCGGUAUGGGUACCUCUACCCCCCCACUUCCAUCCUGAAGGGAAGGCCCAAGCCCCUAGGAAGGGCGAGGACCAAUGAGCCACAAGGUACUCAAGUGGGGCACCACUCCACAUGAGCCGGGAGCACCGCAGUCGGUUUCCCUUUCAGGAGUGGGAGCUGCUCUUGAGCACUUCCUUAGGUGGCCCCUCCGGCACCACUCAAGCCCAUGCUCACUCCCACCCAAGGCCCCUCGGCCCCAGUCUCAACCUCAAGUCAGUUUGGAAGCACCACUGGAGAGUUCCUUCAAGACUGGUUCCUGGACCUCACUAUCCCUACUAUACUUUUGGAACCCCCUGCAGCCCCCCCCCCCCCUGGGAGACGCACGCUUUGGGCUUUCACCCCUUGACCUGUAUUAGUAUUUUGUAGCGCACCUUAUCUCUCUCCCCUUAAACCAACUGGAAAAGGGGCAAUUGCUUGAUGAGAGAGCCCUUAGUGGCUAUUUUAUCCCCAUUUAUCUCCCAAGGUUCCAAGGAUCCAUGGUGACAGUAUAUCCAAAUCUUAUCCCAUGAUCACAUGCGCUACACUCACCCCCCCUUUAGAGAUGUCAAUGUCCUCAUUGACUAUUGACUAACAACCCCUACUGAGCCAAGGGGAACCAACACCUCCAUUUCCGCACUCAAUCUACCAAUCCUUCCAUUGUGUAGACUAGCUAUUCCAUGUGAGGCAACUAGUCAUCCACCCGUACCGCAGUCCCACGGUGGAUACCUUCGUCCGUGGAUACUCCACACAAGAGGAAGGACGUACGCAUGGAUGCCCAAUACGUAUGGAUGUCCAAUACAUACGAUUUUCAAAUUUAGGGGUAAAAAUAUACCUUGCUCAAGGGUAUAUUAUAUUUUAGGUAGCCACUAAUCAAUGGGAAUCGAACCCGUGCCAUUUGCUCCGAUACCAACUAUAGCGCACCUUAUCUCUCUCCCCUUAAGCCAACUGGAAAAGGGGCAAUUGCUUGAUGAGAGAGCCCUUAGUGGCUAUUUUAUCCCCAUUUAUUUGCUUGAUGAGAGAGCCCUAAUUGGCUAUUUUAUCCCCAUUUAUCUCCCAAGGUUCCAAGGAUCCACGGUGACAGUAUAUCCAAAUCUCAUCCCAUGAUCACAUGCGCUACAUAUUUGGACUUAGUCUCUGGCUCGAUCUCGGACCCGAUUUCAGAUCCGACUUCGGAUUCGGUCUCGGACUCGAUCUCGGACUCGAUCUCGGACCCGAUCUCGGACCCGACCUCGGACUCGACCUCGGACUCGGUCUCGGACCCGAUUUCGGAUCUCGGACUUCGUCUCGAACUCGGUCUCGAACUCGGACUCGAACUCGGUCCCCGAGUCAGUCUUGGACUCGAUUCUGGACUCUAUCUCGAACUCAGUCCUAGAGUCGGUCUUGGACUCGAUCCUCGACUUGGUCCCAUCCGAUGAACUCUUUGUCAUUUCGGUCAAGCUUUUGGGGAUCCUUUAGCCUACGACAUCUUGGGGAGUCGGUUCCUUACAACUCCACCACCCAUAGAAGAAGUUUGAUGCCCAUAUCGAACGUCUCGUUUUAUUCUACGACUUGUUGACCAUGGCUCCGGGGGCAUCCCCCCACUUAGCGGUGUGCCUAAGUUAGCCUCCCCGGCCAAGAGCCCAUGAAAAUGGAAUAUAGGUGUCCCUAUACCCCUAACCUCACCACGCCCUAGUAUGGGGUCGGGACUUGAACCCAGCCUUGCUUUACUAAGGGGUUGGGACUCGAACCCAACCUCUGUAGAAUACGUCUACGGAUUCGACAUCCCCACGGGGAGUCGGGCGUAGUGCCCUACGCCUGGUCGACCUAUCCAACCCAUGCUAAUUAGCUUACCUUCGGCGCGCCUUCGGGUCCCAACAUAUGCCACUUGCUCAACUUUGCAAAUUGAUAUUUUUAAUUGAAUUUUGCAUAAGUACAUAGAGUUCUGCCUUGCAGAAAUUCCUCCACUAGAUCUCACGCGUUCGCUAGGUUCUCCUCCGGUUCCCAUGUUGCUUCGCAGUGUGGAAAUCCUUUCCACUUCACAUGGAACUCUCUCACCUCGUGUCCUUGUCGCUUGCUCUUGCGCGCAUUGAGGAUGGCCUCGACUUCGUAUUCCUCUUCCCCUUGGAUAACCUCAGGUAAAGGUCUCACUUGGUCCUUGCGAAGCGGAUCCUCAAAGUACGGCUUGAGUAAGUUCACGUGGAACACUAGGUGCAUCUUCCCCAUCUCUCGAGGAAGUCAGAGACGGUAAGCCACUUUACCGAUUCGUGCCUCAAUCUCGUAAAGCCCCGCGAACCUGCUUAAGGAACUCAAGAUCAAUUCAUUUACAGGAAUACAUGCAUCUUUACCUUUGGGUCAACUUUCGGCUGAACCCACUUGGUAGUCUGAGGUUCUUGGUGUUCAGCCACACCUUCUCCCCAGCUUGGAACUCUAUAUCCCGACGCUUUUGGUUUGCGUAUUUGGUUUGCCUUUGUUGAGCCCGUUCCAAGGAAUCCCUCACUAGAUUCCAAAUGCUGAGUCUUUCCGCCGUGAAUGCCUCCACUACGGGCAACUCUCCAUGAUACUCGGCCACGCCGAGUUCCACAGGACCUUCAAUAGCUCGCCCAUUGAUGACUUCCCAUGGACUCACCCCGAUACUCGAAUGUGGUGAGUUGUUAUAACACAUUUCCGCAAGUCCCAAAUGACUUACCCAAUCGGUCUGGUCUCCCGAGACAUAGCAUCGCAAAUAAUCCUCCAGCUGCCUAUUCACCCUUUCCGUUUGUCCGUCUGUCAAGAAGUGUUAGUGCCAACAACUUGACUUAAUACCCCAUACCUGUCUGUGGGUGAUAGGCUGUAAGCUCUAUUUCGUUAAAGUGGGAUUUAUUCAGUAAAAUGGGAUUAGGUACAAAUUUUCAAGUAUUUGAAAAUGACGUGAAAUUAUAUGUUUUUUGUCUAGGGGCUAGACAUAUCUGGGGCAUGGUGACUAGCGCGGUGACUUUGUGUCCAGACUGAGUCCAUUUGGUUGUAUAAUAAAUCUCAUUGUCAAGGUGAACAAGCCGAAUCUGAAGCUAAAGAAGAGCGAUGGCAUUCGCGCACACACUAUUUGUUUGUUCAUUGAGCGUGUGGUGAGCUUUCCAAGAUGAACGUCAUUCCUAUUAGCCAGACAUAUAACUUAAUGGUGAGAACAUUUAGAUAUUAUUCAAUGUUAUCUUUUUCUAACGAAUCUAAUUGUGAAGGUGUAGCAAGAGGCAUUGCUAGUCUGGAGAAGUCAUUUAACUCAUUUGACCCUUAGUGUAUUUUCAUGAAACUAAAUAACAUUCAUAUUAUUAAGGAAUUUCUCUAGUACCUUUUUUUUACGACAUAGAGGCUUGCAUUUCUUUCAAAGGUGAUUUAGUAAAAGGCCUGAGGGCACAUGCCAUUCUAUUUCUCAGACCGGUAUUAAGAUAUACUAGUGCAAAGGGAAAAAGGUAUUUGGUGAUCAAGUAAAUGGCAUGAGGGCACACGCCAUUAUAAGCCUAAGCGCUAGUGGACACCUCCUUUUUGGUGUCACGCCUCACGCCUCACGCCAUCAUGCCAUGCCAUCACGCCUCCUCUGAUUCAGAUUCGGAUUGUUCACCUUGAAAUAAAAUACAUUAGAAACUUAGUAAAGGAAUAUUAAUGAAUCUCACCUUGAACCCGGGUUAUGAAUGCUCUUGCUGCAUCUCUUGCAUGGUCUGGCAAGGUGAUGGUGGCACUCUGCUUCCGCAUCCAACCAUGCACAACAUUAUCCACCGAUAUGCUCAUGCUGGGAUCCCUUGGAUUCAGCACCCAUCUCUUUUCUAGGCAAUCCUUCGUAUAUCCGGAACUUGGCUUGAACCACUCCACAGUUACAUUGAAGGAGUUAGUUUCCGCGUCCUCCUCUGCAUCAGUGAUGCAGCGCCCCACCCAUAUCAUUUGUUUUUAUUACUGGGUCUGACAAGCACGACCAUUCCUUUGCAAACCUGUACUGGAUUGAAUGCUGAAUCCGGCUUCUUGUUCCUCGGCCCACAAUAGUGAUCCUCAACAUCGUUAUCUGUCACUGCAUUUCCAGAGGACAUUGUUCCGCUACUAUCUGGUGCUCUGGGUUCUGGCCAAAAGGACUCUUCCAAUUCUUCAUAUACAACCGGCCCAUUUUGGAUAGCAGAUAUAAUCUUCUCCCAGUAUUCGAGCAAAGGCUUGCACCUCUUAAAAUAGGAUUCUCCACCAAACACCAACCCCCUCUUCCAGAAGGCAAUAUGCUGUCUAAUCCCGGCCACUAUACUUUCCUGGUCUUUGAGUCCAUCUGGGUGCAUCGGCCGUGGGGAACCCUGAGGAAUCAUAGGUUCCCCAGUUAUGGGAUCUCUCUUGAAGAGUUCAAUGCCAUCCACUGGGAGCCACACUGUGUCCCAUUCUCUCAUCUUGUACCUCAUCACUGGAGCACCGUCACGCAUGCUGAAAUGAAACUGAAAAGGCUUGGAGUGGCCAAUCAGCGUUUCGGAUCCGUCCCUGAUGUAGCCUCUUACAAACCCCUUAAAGUCUGGAACCUCUGUCACAAGUGCAGCUUCAACAGUGCCUUUGAUGCAAUUUUGGAAUUCAUCGUAGAGUUGUGGGAGGGUGAGGACAUUGGAUCGCCGGAGGGACUCUGCCAGGUGACUGAACAUGGCAUCGACGUCUUCAUGAGUGUGCCCAACCAUGAGAAAGCCAAGUGUAACCGUUUCAAAUAUGCCUUUGGCAACAAGCAUCGCCAAGUACGCGAAGACGUACAUAUUUUUGUUCUCACUGCCAGCAUUGUCUGUUUGGAGCAGAAGAUGGGGUGGAAGGCCACAUCGGCCGCAAGAACUUCCUUGAGAUUCUGCUUCGUUUGGAUGAGGCUGUGCCAGCCUCAUUGGAAUGGCAUGAGGCCUCACGUGAUAACCCUACAAUCUGACGGCCAACAUAUUCACUGGGAUGGCAUGGGGCCCCAUGCGAUACUGCAAGCCUUUGCUCCUCCUCCAGCUGAACCCUGUAUGGGGUUCGAUCGACAAGGGCCUUAUGCAAGGGUUGGCCGUUCAGCUCAGUUUGCGCACUUUGCAGAGACCUUAAGUGUUUUGCUAGGGACGCAAUCAUCAUGUUUGCACCCCCGCCACCCCAUAGAGGUACAAAGAAGUUCCCAUAGUUCUGGGCACCAUGCCCAUGAGCGAUUAUGCCAAACAGAGACACAGGCAGCUGCAUGGAUGAAGAGAUUGCCUUGGGGGCAGGAUUGAGUCGAGGUAAGCACGUCUUUUUCUGGUCCAUUUUGUCGUGGAUGAUGCAGAGGUAAGAGUCAGGUCUCUCCAUGGAGAGAAUCCUGUUAUGAUAAUAUGCAGUCCUACAGCUUCUUUGCUCGAUGUUGUGGUUGAGCCGCCUUCUAACCAACGUCUCUCGCUCUUGAGCACUGCAAGAAUUCUUCGACAAAGCCAUUUUGAUAGCAGUGCACUCGUCACACUUUGAAAAGCUGGAGUACUUUCCUAUACUCACAUCCCUGAACCUGUUGCUCCACAAUCUACUAAAUCUAGAUUGGCUCAGCUUCCUGUAGCCAUUACUCUGGAGUUCCCGAUUCACAUCUUCCAAUAUGGCCCCCUUGGUAUACAUGGAAGGGAGAACUCGUUGGGUGUCUCGUGUUCCAUCUUCCAAGAGGCGGGUUUUAUGUGGUUGCUGCUUGCUACAUGUCUCAACAAACCUCUUGAAGAUUGCCUCUCCAUAUACAACAUGACCCCUAGUUUUGUGCGUAUCGUCAUUCCCAUGGACUGCCUGUUGAACCCUUUGUUCCUCGAACUUAGUUUUGAUUCUGUAGAAUGUGCUUCGAGGGACUCCAUAAAUGAUUCUCCAUGCCUUCAUGCAGACCAAACCCCUCUGGAAGACCAUGCCCCCCACCUGAUGUUCUGAAGCAUCAACAGAUGACUGUAAUGCCUCAUACACAAAAUUGCGAGCUGCCUUCCAGGACAAUGUCUUGUAUCUUGCUCUCUCCUCUUCAAUAGCAUCCCAAUCAGCAUGUUGACAGCACCUCCUCUUGCAACAAGCAACUGUCGAGACCAUUCGAACCUCCAUCGCCAUUUUCUGCCUUUUCGGUUCGUUGCUCAGAUCCCUUUGGCUGCGCUGUAGGAAGGUGUACUUUCUUUUCCCAUGAAGAGAUGUUCUGUCAUCAGUUGUAGUGGUGUUUGAUUGUGAAUCCUUUACAUUCUCAAACACUAAAUGCCUCAAUUUCCACCGCACAAUGCUUCCAAUAGUUAGACUGUUUUCUUCUGUGUCAACAACCUCUAAAAUCGCAACUCCAAUAUCAUCCCAGCCCAAUUCUUGAUUAGCAACCGCAUCUCUUGGAUCGACAACUGUGGCUAAGCCCUCAACUACCACCUCCCCCUCGGGGUUGUUUAGAAACACCUUUGCCUGAAUCCAUGUAGCACGGUUCUUAAGAUCCACGGAGGGAACAUGCGUCGCACUUGCGCUGUCCCCAACAUCUGCUUUCUUCUGCAGAUUUUUCAAGGCAACAACAACAUUUACCCCGACGACCAUCUCUCCUCGUUCAAUAGCGACCACAUUCCCAUCGAAGACAGUCUCUACUGAUACAGCAGCAUUGCCUUCCCCAAGCCUUUGACAGUGUAUAACAAAGUUCUGAUCCAUAGACACAAGGGUCCCUUUUGCAACUCUCUUCCCACCAUUCAAAAUGUAAACUUUUUCCCCAACCCUGAAGGCCAUUCUGAAAGUGCAGAAAAGAAGUUAAGACCAUACAAAAAAUGAUUGGAGAAUGGCCUAAAUCAUAACAUACCAAAUAGCAUGAGGCCACAUGCCAUUAUUCAAACAUGUUAUUGACACCCACGUGAAAUUUCGCAUUCACAAAAUUGGCAUGAGCCCUCAUGCCAUUAGUGGUACCACUAAUGGCAUGAGGCCUCAUGCUAUUUACUAGUCACACACACAAAAAUAUAUACAGUUGCAGCAAGGCAAAAGGAAUAUGGCAAUAGGCUAGCAGGGGCCAAAGAUGGCAUGAGGCCUCAUGCCAUCUUGAUAUACACACAGCUGCAGGCAAGUAAAAACAUACAUGACAAUACGCUAGCCAUGAAAUUGCAAGGGCCCAAGAUGGCAUGUGGCCUCAUGCCAUUUCUAAAUGUGGUCCUAAGCCAUUCCAUGGUGAACAUACCAGGAAGCACAAGUGCCGAAUAUCAAGAGGAAGCGGUAGCCACACCAAAGACAGUGCCGCUCGCAACACCGCAACUACUCGUAGCGCCGCUCGCAACACCGCAACUGCUCGUAGCGCCGCUUGCACAAACUGCCACUCGCAUAAACUGCCACUCGCAAUGGCGCUCGCAAUGCCGCAACCGCUUGUAGACGCAUAAACCACAGCUCACAACGCCGCUUACACAAGCAGCGCUCACUGCGCUCAGCGGAACCAAGAACACCGCGCACAAAAAUGAUAGACCUAGGAAUGAGUUCGAGAAUUCAAAAAUAACACACGUUUGAAUGUCACAUCAAAUCCUCUGACAAACCAGAUCUUAUGAUUCCUCUGACAAAUUUCAAACUGAGUAGCUUCUAGACUUUGCUGUCGGAGGUUGAACUUUGUCACAUCAUGUCCUUGCCUCGAUCCAGCUGUGCCAUGUCAGUGAUUCGAACUUUGCCAUGCCGUGUCAGCGAUCCGCGCCAAGAUUAUUCGCCGUGUAAAGGAAUAAUUAUGCUGUGUGUGUACGUCCAUUUAUGGCAAUAUAAGGCCACACGCCAUUCAAAGAAUAAUGCUAGUCGAGCAUUUUUUGGUGCAUUUUUGGGUUCAAAAUUGCAUGAGCCCACACGCUAUAAAGUUUACCUGUACCAAAAAUAGAAACAGCUUUAUUUACUUGCGAAUUUAAGUGGUUGAGGCAUUUUUAAACUUACAAACACAUGCCCUACUUACAUUCCUUUGGUUGCUUAAAAUUCAAAAAUAUAUAAACCUUUCUUUUUGCAUUUUCAAUGUUUUCAAUUAUGGUUUUUGAUUUUCGCAAGACCAGCCUAGUAAUCUAUUUGCAUCCCGUCAUGUUUAUAGCUAGCUUUCGUUUGUCCCCUUCGCUAGCCUGAGAUACAUCUGCUCGGCAUCUGCCUCUUAUAGCAUUUGCCCAGAAAGGGCAUCUUUCUUCACGCAGCAUUUGCCACAUGUUUAGGGUUUAGGGUUUAGUGUUUAGCAAUUCAGUAGCUUGAUAAACAUGCAAAUACAGAACUUGAUGCAAAAUCCUUCGAUAUGUUACAAUGCCCCUAGGACUAUAAACACAUUUCAAUAGAGAGGGUCCUUUCAUUUUAUAACUCCUUACGUAGAUCUUGGUGAAACCAGAGUUAGUGAAGUUGGUUUCUUGUGAUCCCGCAUCUGAUUGUGAUGUCCCUUUGCAGUGUCGAUGGAAAGGUCAAUGCACACCAAACUGUAAAAUCUUGGAGCAAAAUAACAGUCAGAUCUAUGGCAAAUGCCCCUGAAACAUUGUAAGGCUUGUGUGGUCUCAUGUGGUGUCCGAUCGAGAUGCUUCUUUGCAGGGUCAUCAAGAAGGACAUUGUAUACCAUUCUGUAAAAUCUAGUUGCGAUCUAACGGUUGGAUCUCCAGGAAACUCAAAACAAUCUCGCGCGUGUCAGAAUAUUCUAGGAAUAUACUCCUAUGUGCUCCUGAAAAUGGCAUGCGGCCCCACGCCAUUCAAGAGAUAACGCCAAAUGAUGCCGAGCAUUUUUUGGUGCAUGUUUUGGGAUCAAAAUUGCAUAAGCCCACACGCUUGAACAUCACAUCAAAUCCUCUGACAAUUUAUUUAGCUGAACAUCUGGCAUUUUUGGAAAUACAAGAUGCUUUGGAAUAUCCAAUCAUGCAUAGUAUAAAUAUAGCAAGGGUAUUAAAUGAUAUCCCAAUCAUGAUCUUUCUUUUGGAUUUCACGUGCAUGCAGUCCGAGGAAUGAUGACGUUGCGGAUUGCUUUUGGAUUUCACGUAUACGCGUGGCGAUCCAGAAAUUAAUGGUGGCGCCCAAGUUCGAGGAAUGAUGACGUGGUGGGAUUACCAACCAUCGUGACAUUUCGCGCGUGUGAGGUUAGGUUUUGCAUUUUCCUUCGUACUCGCGCUCGCAUCGCGCUCCCACUCGCGCUCCCACUUCUCUAUAGGUUUCUCGUGUGCAUCGGCGUCCACUUGCGCUUGCAUCACACUCGCGCUCGCAUCGCGCUCGUGUGCAUCGGCGUCCACUUCAAGACACACCCAGUUUGUAACUUCGCCGCCAACUCCGCCGCCCACUCCACGCAGCCCACUUGGCGUCCCGGGAGAUUUCAGCGCCACUCUCCAACUGUAAGUGGUAGAGUAGCCUUGCUGCUACGAUUUGCUGCACACACAGUGCACAUUCGUCAGCGAGUCCGGUUGUCACGCCUCCAUUCGGCUUCAAAUGGUAAGUCUUUUAGGCCAAGUAGAAAAUGGCAUGAGGCCACAUGCCAUUCAGUAGCAACAUUGGCAUGCACCGAUUGGGCUCUCGAGUGCAGUCCGGUUACAGAUGGCGUGUAGCCUCACGCCAUCUUAGGAUGCAGCCUCAAGACAUCUGAUGCAGUGGUGAAUGGCGUGUGGCCUCACGUUAUUUCCAGUUGUUAGCUUUUCAUCUGUCAGCUCUAAUUGUUGUGCAUUUCUGAACAGGCGAGGAAUUGCGUUCUUCUUCUAGCCACUGUCAAUGUGGAUGCAGAGAAGGGGGAGGAGCUCACCAGUUGGACUUUUGGGAUGGAAGGCGAGGAUCUGAGGCUGUACAACACAGAUGGUGGGAGAAAAGAAUGCAUGGGGAUCCUCAUCCAAGUGACAGACACUCCAUGCAAUUCCAUGCAAGAAUAUGGACUGGCACUUGUGGUAGAGACAGCGUCUGCCUUCAAGAUCCACCUUGCACAUCCUAGCGGCUUCCCGGAGGGGGGCAGCGGCUAUGAGGAAUUCCUAGAGGGAGCUAGGGAGAGGUUGUCCAGGAGGCCCACAAUUUCAAAGACGCUGCAGGUCUAUGAAGAUCACAUGGAAUCCAUGGACUUCACCUACGGCGAUGUUCAAAAACUAUAUUCCAACAUUGAGCCGUUGAGAGUGAAUCCAGUUCGCGAAGCGAAGGGGAAGGGGGUCGAUCUGGAAACUACCCCGAAGCAGAAAAGGGUGGUCAAGCUCAAGCCGAUGUCCGACUCUCCUCCAAAAAAGAAGCUACUCGGUGAUGCCAUUGCCUCGGGUUUGAACACUACACCCACCAAAAAGAAGAGCCGCAAAGAGCAGAAAGAGCAAGAAGAGGCAGCAAAAAUUGUCGCAGAUAAUAGUACUUAUUACUAUUCGAACAAAGUAUAUACAAUCGACGUGAGCCGUAUUGACAUCCAAAGCAAAUACAACCACAGGCUAGUAUCUGAUGAGUGGGUGGAGAAACUGAAGCAGAAGAUGCUGGCAAGUCCAGUAACACCCGACAUCGCAAACGUGAUCCCCUACUACCGAACAAUGAAGGGUGAGACGAGGUUUCCAGACUUGAUCAAUAGGAAGGUGUUGGACGAUCAGAACAUCCGGUUCUAUGCCGUCUCCGGGCAGCAUUCUAGCUUGGCGAUGCAAGAGAUAGUUGUGGAUAUUAUGGUGGGCGAGGAGGUGAAGAAAGUCUUCAAGACAAGAGUUGUCCGCCUGAUAAAAGGCAACUUGCCCCUCCGAUCUAUCAUAUACAUCUCCCACGCGCAGAAUGUCAAGCAAGAAACGUGCUACAAAUCGGGUUUGCACGAGACAUUGGCACGAACACGGAAGCUCUAGGUUCAACUGAAGAAGCCACAAAAACCAGGACAAGGACGUGCACUAGCAACUAGCGCCUGGCAGGUAAGCCUCGUUGUAUGUGGCAUAGCAUGUGGCCUCACGCCAUUUCCAUUGCAGGAAUUCUCAAGUCUUCUCUCGAAAACACUGGGGGUCAAUGACACACUCAGCAUCCAUAACAUUCUACUUGCGACAAAAGUUGUUUUUGACAAAUGGGUAGAUGUGCUGAGGAGGUACCAUGAUGGGGAGUUGCCAAACUCAAUGGGUGUGGAGGACGGCCGGAAGCCCAAUGAUUUGAAGCUCAACGCUUUGCGUUUCUCGCGGUCUCUAGACGACGACGACCUUCUGACAGUGGCUAAUGCUCUUCUACGUGGUGAGGUAGUCUUCAACAAGACCAAAAUGACUCCCGGCCAUAUUGUGACAUACGAGGACUUGUGCACGACUCUGAGAGCUCGUGCGCUAUUGAAGGAUUGGAUCUUCAAGCAAGUGGCCGUGGAGAGGGUGAGCAUCGACACCACGCAAGAGAUGAUGGAAGCGCUGGAUUUGUCAGUGCCUGAGGAACUGAAGACGGCUAUGGAGCUUUUGAAUCCAAAGAAAGCUCCAGGUGCAGCAUGGGAAAUGCUCAGCUGGGUCUUCAACGCAAUAGCGGGUGGGUCACCUGCUUCCGACUCCAAGGGCAAAUGCGUUGUCGAGUACAACUGCGGCGGACUAUUCUUUCGAGCCGCACUACUCAAGGGUGUCCCGUGUGUUGCGGUGACAAACUCCAUUGAAGAGGUGACUUCAAUGGAGCAUAUAAUUACAGUUGCCAAAGAAAAACAGUAUCUUCUCUGCGAACCUGGUGAGUACGCACUUUAAGUUUAAAUGUUAUCUCACAAGCUCUGUAUGCAGGAGCGUGGCCACCCCUAGAUGCUGAAACGGCGUUAACAGCUACUGUUGAAGAUACCCAUGUUGGGCUGAGCUCACAACCUGCACAAGGUAAGGUCACGUGAGGCCUCACGCCAUUUUGAUUAUAGAUCGUUGUGAAUAUUCAGACAUGAGGACUGAAAAGCGCACUGGUGGCACGUCGAAGAAGGACAAACAGACAAACAAUAGGAAAAAAGGAGGUACAAAUUAUAUUUGCAAUGGCGUGUGGUCUCAUGCCAUUCCUUGCAGGAGACACUUCUUCAAAGGCAAAACAGGAAAGCACCAGCCAAGCUCAAACUGACAGUGGUCAUAAAAAGCGAAAGCACGUUGGACAGUCGUCGGGAUCAGAGGCAUUUGAUUCGAAAAGGAAGAAGGGCAACGAAAAGAUGAUAGGUAAUGCCUCGCGGUUAUGGCGCGUGUGCUCAUGCCAUUCAUUGCAGAUCAAGGGCUGAGUGAAAGCAGGCAGUCACCACCUCCUGACUCAGAUUCCUAUGGCGGACUCCCCUUCCCCAAUCUCAAUGGAGAGGUACAAUGGAUGAGGGAUGCUUUUCAAGUCAGGGCCACGUUUUUCUCAUCUCGUCGUCUUCGAAGGGUGCAAGAACGUGCAGAAACCAUGUUAAGACAGUCGGGUGAGGAUACGGUCCUAGGUCACGCACUAAAACAGGCUAUGGAUGUCUUGUAUUUUGAGAUGGAGACUCGGCCAGAUGAUUUUCCCAAGAUGGUCCUGGAAGAACAAGCCAUCCAGCCUGAGCAGCCUAUGGAAGAAAUGCAGGAGGGGGAUGAGGAGCCAGAGAAAGAUAAUGAGCAGGAAGAGCAAAAGGACGAAGAGGAGGACAAAGAAGAGGAGGACGAAGAAGAGGAGGAUGAAGAGGACUUGGAUGGUCCUCACAAUGGUGACGAUGUAGCGCACGUGGUUUUGACCCUUUAUCCUAUGGUGAUUUACCAUAGGAUAACACCACGAAGCGGAACCUAAACCCUCUUUGUGCCACGUGACAGAUGCCACGUGUCACAUGCCACGUGUCCAUGCCACGUGUCCAUAGGAACCCGAGGUUCAGGGCCUUGGGCCACUGAACGAAGGAACGGUGCCAAACUCCCAAGCAUGACGCCAAGGAGUGAUGGAACCGGACCACGGAGCAACUACCGAGCAUAUAGCCCAAGGAGCGAAGGGACAGGAGCCCGGAGCGACUUGGAACAGUCCUGGAGCAACCAGCAUACCAAUGCCAGGACCAGCACGCAAAACGGAGCCAAACGGAGUCUGGCGCUAUUUCGGCAUACCGGUGGCCUAACGUGAGGAUAUGGGUACUCCACCAGCUAGCAUGGAAUGGAACUUGGGCUUAGACCCAAGCCGGACGCAGAACAAGGACAGGCACGCAAGCGGGAGCUAGACUAUGCCUCAGGUUGGUCGGCCAUGCCCGACCUACCCACUAUCCCUACUAUACAUUUGGAACCCCCCAUAGCCCCCCCCCCCUUGAGGAACACACGCUUUGGGCUUUCACCCCAAGCCUCCCUUAGUAUCAGGAGUUAGUUUCUGGGACAAGCUCGAAACUUACUAAAUAUGGAAUGUCCCUAGAUUGCGAAUUUGGACACGGGACGAACACCAUUGUGUUCAGGCAGAUCUCUACAUUCCGUAGAUAUGCCAAAUGAGCAACACGGUAAGCUAUCAUGUAGCGAUAUUGAGGGACUAAUCUCAAUACGCGAGGGUUCUUGUCACUAGCAAGUGCAAGACAAAACGAGAUGGGAACUCCUUACCGGGCUAAGUAUGCUUAGCUAAUAACACGUAGGAAUUCCGUCCUUAUGCUCGUCCGGUCUAAGUACACUCGAAAUGCCCAGUUAACUCCACUAGCACAAGAGGGACUGAUAAAGGGUCCAGCAAUACCGACCUCCUGCCAUCGUGGCAGUAAGGUAAGAGUGUCCGUAAGGACUAGCCGACAGGUAACUUUCGAUACCUGAAGUCACAUUCGCGACAGACGAUCACAAUAACGACGACGACGAUGAUGACGACGAUGGCCAGCCUGAGGUGGCUAAAGAGCAGCGGAGGAAGGUCAUACAAGACAAACCAUCAGGUAAAUAAUAGUACAUCCAUUCCUAACCUUUUACCAUUUCUAACAUUGUCCAUGUAGGUCGUAGAGCAAAUGGUAAGUAGAGAUUAUUCAGUUGAAUUAAGAUACAAAUUCUAGCCUUUAGUGUCGAGGAAGGAUAGUGCCAAGCAAGGGUCGAAACGUAUGUCCAAUCCUUCAGAAUCAACAGUGCGCCCAAGUGAUAUCGGUCCUAGUUCCUCAAUAGCAGUUGAUGGUAAAUACAGUAUAGUCGAUUCAAUGUGCUAAUGAGUUUGUUUUUAGUAGCACGGGAGGAUACCAUCUCAAUCGAAGGGAGAUAUUUGGACAUGCAUAUGGAUCCGCCAGUGGACUCUACUUGCCUGCAAGAGUCAUCAGAGCUGGUGGAGGCUACUAUCCAUAUCAACGCCAAGCAAGCUGACCACGCUCCACUUGAUGCUGCCCAUACCACUGAGUCAAUCUUGUCCACGUAUCCAACUGAUGGUGACCAGGCGCCAUUGGACCCGCAUGAGGCCGCCCUAGCCGCCGAGCCGGUCGUAUCCUCAUUUCCAACGGACUCAACAUGUGCCCAAUCGUCUGACUACGCGCCGUUGGAACCUCCCUACACCGCCCCUGCUGCCUGUUCGGUCAUGUCCACUUUGCCAACGGAGGCACCAGCUGAAAUGGCGUGUGAUCACACGCCAUCGGAACCACCCCAUGCCACUGUUGAGCCAGUUGUACUAGAGUCUACAGCUAAAAUGGCAUGUGCCCACACGCCAUCGGAUGCGAUUGACCCCACAUUGCAGAGGAGAGUAUUUCCGCCCUUCACGUUUCCUCGACCAAAACCCUCUCAACGACCAUCGGGAGCACCAUUUGCUAAUAUUGUAGAUGGUAAAAUUGACUUGUACCAUUUUUUAUGCUGAUGCAUUUCAUUUCAGAGUCACGGCGAAGGUACUGUAUCAUUUUUGAUCUGAACAGUGUCCUUUUCUCCCAUGAGCAUGGCUCGUCCUCGAAUGUCAUUGCACCCUCCAAAGCCUGCGGUCGCAAGUUGGUCAAAAGAGACAGAUUCACAUUAAUCACACGGGAGAAACUGCGGGAUCUAAUAAUGACCAUGCGACACUUAAAACAGAGGGCCGGGUUCAAUUUGCAAUUGGGAGUUUGGACAUCCAUGAUGCGCCACAAUGCAUUAACGUUGCUACAGAUGAUGCACGAUCAGACGCGAGUAAUAUUACCAUUUGACUUUCUCCUAAUGCAGGAGGAUUGCUUGACUAUGGUCCAUGUGAGGGGUAGCAAGCCCAUCUUCGUCAAGCCAGAGGCUGUAGUGAUGAACCGGACUGCUAGCUCAAGUGAAAUCCUCAUCAUCGAUGACUCGCCGAUUAAAACUGCAGCGAACACGCACACAUAUGCAGUGCACCCCAUCUCUUGCAGUAUGGAAACUAGGGAGAAGAAACCGUAUGUUCUGGGGGACCUUGCAAAACGGCUUGGAGCGAUGGUGAUAGUGAACCGGCCAGUCCAGGAGGUGGUUGCAGAAAUCAACCAAAUGGCAGAUGGAACGGUAUAUCAGAAGCCAUUUGAUCAGACAAACACCAGUCAUCAUUUAUGGCAUGUAUAUUGUCUAGCCAAGCACUAUCCGCAUCUCCAUAAUCUGCUCAACCGGAUGGGUUCUUCGACCACUGAACAUGAGCGUGGACGUAUUAGAGAAGAGAUGGCAUUACUAUUGGGUUUAAAUCCUGAUUGGAGAGUGAUGAAAUUCCAAGAUUAUUGUAUAGGCGUUGGAGGCAAAAAAUAACAGUCUGAGAUGGCAUGUAUUUAUUUAAAAAUGUAACUUAUUAUGGCAUGGGGUUCCAUGCCAUUGUAUUAAUAUUAAAAGACAAUUCUUUGAGAGGAUUUGCAUUAUACUAGAAGUGUUACAGCAUGUUAUUGGAAGUCUACGAAGUUGUUUUAUUAAUAAGGGGAAAGUAAAGAUUGAAUGGGGACUUGGGCUCCACCUAGACUUGGAGCAACUGAGCCAAUAUUAAAAGGAUGGAAAGAAAUUGGACGAUGAUGACAAGGAGAAGAGAGAGGUGAAGCAGUGGCAGGGGGAGGAGAAGUGAUUGAGUAGACAUUUCCUUGUUUAAAAUAAAAUGGCAUGUGCCUCAAUGCAGUUGAAUUUUGUUAUAUUUAUAUACUAUAUAAAGGUUUGGAAACCUUAUUUUACAAGUGGGAUAAUGACAAUUCCCACUUUAACGAAAUAAAGCUACUAAGCUGAAUUUCAACUUGGUGCGAUACUGUUCCAGGAGAGUCCUCCAGAACCUACUGGUGAAGAUCUUAUCUCGAUCUGAGAUGAUCUCUUUCGGUCUUCCCCGCACUCGAACCACUUGUUCGAAGAACAGCUUUGCCACACCUUCCGCAUCCACCUCUGUUGUGGUGGGUAUGAAGUGUGCCAUUUUCGAAAAUCGGUCCACCACCACGAAUAUCGCAUCAAACCCCUCGCUUGGGGGGAGUCCCGUGAUGAAGUCCAUCGUAAGACAUUUCCACGGACGAUCUGGAAUUGGGAUGCUUUGCAACAAGCCCCCACUAGCCUUAGUCACGGCUUUUACCUGCUGACAUGUUGGACAUGUCUUUACAUAGUCUUGGACGUCCUUAGCCAUAUCUGGCCAAUGGUACUUCCUUUUGAGUAAGCCCAUCGUCUUGGGCACUCCACCGUGUCCCGCAAGAGGUCCGUCAUGACACUCUUCUAAGGCCACCUUCCUUAGUUCCCCUUUUGGAAUAUACACCCUCGUUUGCUUGUAAUAAAUGAGUCCGUUGUGUUCCGCAUAGCCCGUUUUCUCUUCCGUUGGCAGCUCACCUCUCUGGUGAGCUUCCCGCGCCUCUAGAUUCCUCAGCAACACUUCUUGUGCUAGACCAUCAUUCUCAUAUGCUGUCCGCACAUCGUCCCAGAAGGUUGCUGUUGCGCUGGAUAUUGCCAACCUCAAGCUCACUUUUUGACUUAGCGCAUCCGCCACGAUGUUGCUCUUCCCAGGCUUGUACAGAAUUUCGCAAUCAAACUCGGCCAAGGCAUUGGCCCACCGACCUUGUUUCCCUCUUAGGUCGGGCUGUGACAAGAAGUGUUUUGUUGCCACAUUGUCCGUGUAAACCUUGAAGUGUCUCCCAAGGUAGUGUCGCCAUUCCUUGAGCGCCUUGACCACCGCAAACAAUUCCUUCUCGUGGGCAGGCCACUUACGUUGAGCCUUGUCCAGCUUCUUCGAGAAGAACGCUACCGGAUGGUUGUCUUGCUUCAAAACUGCGCCCAACGCAAAGUCCAAAGCAUCCGUUUCUACCUCAAAGUCCUUACAAAAGUCUGGUAAUGCCAAUACGGGAGCCUUCCUCAACUUCCCUUUGAGGUGGACGAAUGCCGCCUCGCAUUCCGCUGUCCACACCAUCUUCCCUUUUCCUGUUUGGUCCGUUAAGGGCAGGGCUAUUCUCGAAUAGUGUCUGAUAAACUUUCGAUAGUAGUUGCAUAGCCCUAGGAAUGCCCUCAACUCGUGUACAUUGGAUGGUCGCUCCCAUUCUUGGAUCGCUUGGACCUUCUCUGGGUCCACCUUGAGCCCGUCCUGGCCCACCACAUGCCCGAGAAACUUUACCUCUUGUUGAGCAAAGUCACAUUUGCUCUCUUUAGCAUAUAGCUUGUGUUCCCUUAGUUUCUCAAACACUUUCGCCAAGUGUUCGGCAUGCUCCUCUAGCGUCUCGCUAUAGAUCAGGAUGUCGUCGAUAUAGACGACCACGAAGUGAUCCAGAUAGGGUACAAAGAUGUGGUUCAUUAGCGCUGAAAAUGUUGCCGGCGCAUUACAUAGCCCGAAGGGCAUCACCAGAAACUCAAAGCUCCCAUACCUCGUUCGACAGGUUGUCUUCUCGACAUCUUCCUCGGCUACCCUGAUCUAGUAGUAUCCUGACCUUAGGUCAAUCCUCGAGAAGUAUUUUGCCUUUCCCAACCUAUCGAACAGGUCCUCAAUCCUUGGCAAAGGGUACUUGUUCUUCUUUGUAUACUUGUUGAGCAACCGGUAGUCUAUGCACAUGCGCAUAGAUCCAUCUUUCUUUUUCACAAAUAACACCGGCGCCCCAUACGGUGACUUGCUCAACCUAACAUACCCUUUGUCCACCAACUCCUCUAGUUGGCACUUGAGCUCCUUGAGUUCUUUUUCGUUCAAACGAUAAGGGGGACGAACCACUGCCUCAGCACCCUCGACCAGCUCAAUCUUAUGUUCUAUUAGUUGUGCUAGGGGUAGCCCCGCCAGUAGCUCCUCCAGCAUGGUAUCCUGGAAUUGGUUCAACACCCGCUGGAUCACUAAAGGUAUUUCUUCCAUUCCUGUCUUUUUGUCACUCUUCACCGAGAGUAAGCACAAAAAGGCCGCCUUAGUUCCUUUAGUGAGUUGUCCUCUCGUGGACACCAAGUUUAAGUAGGAAUCUUUGGCCUUGCUUUGCCCUACCUUUAGAUCUUGGGCCUCCACCCUAGAUUUUCUUCCUUGGGCAUUCGCCAGUACCACAAGGUUUCUACCUUGUCCAUGCAGGGCUACCACGAAUCGAUUGAACCAGUCCAUUCCGAAGAUCACGUCAAAUCCCGCCAUGUCCAACACGGUGAAAUCUAUGUCCACCUUCCAAGUCCCCACUUCGACUCUCGCUUGUCGAAGUACCUCAUCGGUGCUUUGGCUACCUUGAACAAACUCUAUAGUCCUUGGUUCGCCUAGCCGCUGCACCGUUAGUCCGGCUUGCCGGACUAUGUCUGCAGCCACAAAAUUAUCCAAAGCACCCGUGUCAAUAAGGAUCUUAACAAAGCUACCUUCGAGCUUCCCUCGGAGGGCUAGUAGAUGUCGCGAACGACUCUCUACCAAAGUUGCUCGUGUAAUGAGUAACUUUGAGUUAGGGACUGGAUCACAUACCUCAGUUUGGACUUCACCCAACUUGAUGGCCAUAUUGGCUCUGGCCUUCUUCGGGUAGGGACAUUCCCUCGAGAAGUGUCCCGCUUCACCGCAGUUGUAGCAUAUGUUGUUUCCCACGCUGCUAUACGACUUGACCUUUUUAUCCGUGGGUUUGUCUCUUUUCGCUUGACUCCCCCAUGUACUCGCUCACUGGCCACCGGAUCUGCCUUUCCGGAACCCCGAGGACUCAUUCUUAGAGAAACUCUUCUUGAAUUUCCCUCUGCUAAACGUUCCCCUUAGUUUGGCCCCUUUGCUAAAUGUGGAUCCCGACCCCGUCGUGUUCCCCUUUCGCAGGUUAUCGUUGAAAUGCACCUUGAUGGCCGCAUCCAACGCUUCCUUGUAGUUGGUCGGGUUCCACCGCAUCACUUCGCCGCGAGCCCAGGUUUGCAAACCUGAUAUGAAGGCAUGGAACGCAUCCAUAUCCCCCAUGUCCGUGACAAGUAUUCUCUUUGCCAUAAACCCAUUCACAUACUCCUGAAUGGUUCCGGUCUGCUUCAGCCUACUCAGCUCGUCCCUUAGAUGCAGAGUAGCAUUUGGAGGAACGUAAGUUGUGCGGAUCCUCGCCUUCAUCAUUUCCCAAGUGGCCACCGGUCCUUCGUUGGCCUCUGUCGUUCUCCACCAAGACUUGGCAUUAUCUGCCAAGUAUGGUUUUGCACAUGGGACCUUCUCCGAGCUCGGUAAUCGCAACGCUCGGAAGUAGUCCUCCAUAUCGUAAAACCAAUCCUCCACCACCUUAUAGUCGUUCACUCCCUUGAAGACUGGUGGGGGCUUUGGUUUGUACUUGGGAACUGCCUGAGGGACUGAUUCCACUUCGGUCUGUUCGACCUUGUCUAGUUUUGCCUCAGUCCCUGCCGAAGGGUCCGCACCUUCUGCGCUGCCAGCAUCUGCAGUCUUUUGCUUUUUCUUCUGCUUCUCGUCACGCUUUAGCUUGCGUACGAGAGUGUAAGCAACCAAAGAGAAUGACUUGAGAGACGGUCCAUGGGGUUCAAAUAUAGAGGGAAAGGGCCCAUGAAUAAGAGUGCACCCCCUUUUCCAAUUGGUUAAGGGUCUUGAAAUAUUUGGGUUAAGCGUCCUUGGGUUUGAAUAGUACUGGGCUGGGUGACCUCCCGGGAAGUCCAAACUCAAGAGCUUACAUUUGGUAUCAGAGACAGUCUCGGGUCCGACUCUGUUGGUUGGCUAGGGGAAUCACACCACAUGUUGAUUGACAUCUGGCUGGUCUAGUUUGCUCCCGCUGGGCUCGACCCGAGGGGUAGGGUGUCAAGAGAGCGGGGCUCUCGGGAGAGCUGCGGCUCUCAGCUUCCGUUCACGAGGGUGUGAACUUGCAGGGAAGCGUGGUGGAUUGUAAGCAACCAAAGAGAACGACUUGAGAGACGGUCCAUGGGGUUCAAAUAUAGAGGGAAAGGGCCCAUGAAUAAGAGUGCACCCCCUUUUCCAAUUGGUUAAGGGUCUUGGGAUAUUUGGGUUAAGCGUCCUUGGGUUUGAAUAGUACUGGGCUGGGUGACCUCCCGGGAAGUCCAAACUCAAGAGCUUACAGAGAGUCUCUAGCAGGGCAUUGGUCUGUGCCAAUUGUCCUUCUAGAACAUCCAAUCGAGCCUUGGAUGACCGAACCUCACCACCAGACUCCUGUUUGGAAGUUGCCUCACUAGAGUCCUCCUCAUGCAAGGAUUCCUCAUCCAUAGCCUCCUGUUCGACCGGAGGCUCCAGCUCUGGAGGAGGUUCCGUCUCUGCUUGGGUUCGCUUACGUCCUGCCCUUGCCAUCUCCCAGCAAUCCGCCUCUAUCCUUCGCUAGAACUGAGGAAGAGGCUCCGAUACCAAAUUGUAAGCCACAAAAUUUUCCUUUCCAAUUUGCUAGCUUACCUCGUCUAUCCGACCACCUCUGCCUUGGCUUGUGCUAAGUUCCCUCGCCAAGGUUCCCGCCUAUGGUACCAGCUCCUACUUGGUCCUACUUGGUUUCAGCUACUUACUGCACGAGCAACGGAGUGUUAGCCAUCCAUCUACGGAUUCCCAAAUCUCUCCCAAUCCCCCUCCCCGGGUUAGACUGGACUUAAGGUCCGGCUACACUCCCCGCAGGCACAAGCAGCCAAGCACACCAAGCCUCCAGAUUCCUAACACCCCUUGGUACCACAAGACUUGAUCAUGGGACCCUCUAAAUCCCAAGUCUUGGGUGCAGCACUUGCUUCGGGACGUCGGGCGAAACACCGUGGCCUAACGGCCCGGUAUGGGUACCUCUACCCCCCCACUUCCAUCCUGAAGGGAAGGCCCAAGCCCCUAGGAAGGGCAAGGACCAAUGAGCCACAAGGUACUCAAGUGGGGCACCACUCCACAUGAGCCGGGAGCACCGCAGUCGGUUUCCCUUUCAGGAGUGGGAGCUGCUCUUGAGCACUUCCCUGGGUGCCCCUCCGGCACCACUCAAGUCCAUACUCACUCCCACCCAAGGCCCCUCGGCCCCAGUCUCAACCUAAAGUCAGUUGGGAAGCACCACUGGAGAGUUCCUUCAAGAUUGGUUCCUGGACCUCACUAUCCCUACUAUACUUUUGGAACCCCCUGCAGCCCCCCCCCCCCCCCCCCCCGGGAGACACACGCUUUGGGCUUUCACCCCUUGACCCGUAUUAGUAUUUGGACUUAGUCUCUGGCUCGAUCUCGGACCCGAUUUCAGAUCCGACUUCGGAUUCGGUCUCGGACUCGAUCUCGGACCCGAUCUCGAACCCGACCUCGGACUCGACCUCGGACUCGGUCUUGGACCCGAUUUCGGAUCUCGGACUCCGUCUCGAACUCGGACUAGAACUCAGUCCCCGAGUCGGUCUCGGACUCGAUUCCGGACUCUAUCUCGAACUCGGUCCUAGAGUCGGUCUUGGACUCGAUCCUCGACUUGGUCCCAUCCGAUGAACUCUUUGUCAUUUCGGUCAAGCUUUUGGGGAUCCUUUAGCCUACGACAUCUCGGGGAGUCAGUUCCUUACAUAGCUCUCAUACAAUAAGGUUCCAUCUUGGCCAUUUGGGACAAUGGCUGCUACUUUGGCUUGCCAAUACCAGCAAGAGAGGAGGUAAGCACUCAGGAUUGCUAGCAGCAUUUUCUGCUGACCUCUUUUGCUGGUAGUUGCUAUUGGCAGCAGCCACCACAUAGCAUGAUCUCUUGGCUAAAUUUUAUUAGAUUACUCCCCAUUGGCAAAAAGAUAGGAUGGAUCUCAUGAUCACGAUUGUGAGCAACAUGAUACCUCCUCUUUUGGUGGCUGCUGCUUUGGCUUGCUAAUGGCUACCAGACUAGCAAGAGCGAUCAUAAACAAAUCAUGAGCAACAUGAUACCUCCUCUCUUGCUGGUAGCUGCUAGGAGUUGCUAUUGGUGAGCAGCAGCCAACACAACAUGAUAGAGGCCUCUGUAAAUUCUUUGCUCAUUUCUUGGUAUAGAUCACUCCCUAUUGAGAUUCCUCUUCUCCUCUAGAGAAGAGGAAUCUCAAAAGGAAUCUCAAUGGGGAGUAUGAUCUAUUCUAGGAGAUCUUCUCUUGGGUCUUGGGGUAGGAAUUGGUUUGUGGGCUCUUUUCCCAUUUCCAGUUUGAACGAAUGAAGUGAUUCUCUCCUGUAUCAAUCCAUUGAGACUUAGAAAGGAUUUGGCUCAAGAAUCAUAGAGUGGGCAUUUAGUAGAAACACAUUUCUAUCUCUCUUGGUUCCAUUCCAUUAUGUAGCUUGAUGCGAAUGCUUGAUUUAAUGAAAAACACAGGAGGAGCAUACGAUGAAACACGUGUAAAGGAAAAGUACUGGGCUUGUAGUGAUACACUAGUUCUUGAUUUAUAUACACAUUCUAGUUUCUUUGAAUGUGCCUUGAUCUCUCUUUGGUUCCAAGACUCCCACUUGAUUUGAUGUCUUUUAAUCAGAUUGUUGCUUCCUUGUGAGACUAGUUUGAGUUGUUGUCAUAGUCAUUCAAACUGUUGGACUUCAAUUGUACUGUAAAUCUGAAGUCAUCUUUGUUAUGGGGAUGUAUUUCAGCUUGACUUCUUCUCUCUUGAUCUGCUCCUUGAUAAAGUAAUGAAACAUUUCAAAGUGUUUAUUUAAACCAAAUCUUGGUUCUCCCUCUAGAUCCAUUAUAUUAAAUAUUCCUUCAGGAUAUUCUUGCCCCACUUGUCAGCCACAAGAAUCAAAUUGGGCUUUGAUACCAAUGUUAAAAUCCUAUCCCUUACACCCUAAGCCAAUUGGCUAAAGGGGUGAUCACUUGAUUGUAAAGCCCUUUCUUUAUCCUAUUAUCCUGAUAUAGUGCCUAGCACAUGAUGCAUUGGAUUCAUGAUCAAUUGAAAACAUGUUGUGUUGUCAUUGUAGACAUUCAGUGGUACUUGCAUCUCAAAACUGACAAGCGUCAAAUCUAAAUGCUUUUUUAAUAGCUUUCAUAACAGCAUUAUACUCUACUUCACAAGUAGACAAUGCUACCAUCCUUUGUUUCUAGCUGCGCCAUGACACAACCUUAUUAGAGAAUUUGAACAUGUACCUAAUUGUUGAUCUCCUAUCAUCCAAAUCAUUGACAAGAUCACAAUCUACCAUUCCAUAUAGUAUAAGUGCACCCAAUCCAAUUUCUCCUCCUACCAUCCCCUUGUACUUGUGAUAAAGCAAUUAAGUUUGUAAUACAUAGUUAAAAAUCCACUUUAUUGCAUACUAAUAUCUCUUUUUAGGAUUUUACAUGAACUAGCACACUCUAGAAACAGCUGCAGCUAUAUCUAGUCUGCUUGAUGUGACUAAAUACAUCAACACUCCAACCAUGUUUUGAUAUGGUAGUUUAGCCAUUGUAAGCAACUAAAUUUUCCAUUCUAUUUUAGUCAUUUAACCACACUUUUGACCACUUGGAGGAGUCUCACUCACAACCUCCAUAAGUCCUAUUUUGGACUUGGGCUUGCUAGCCCCGAGAAUGGCAUCUCCGCCACUCAACCUUUGCACUUGGUCCAAGUGCUCCACGUGUCCGAUCCCAUGACCGACAGCCCAAGGUACCAUUGACGCAUCAGCCCAUUACACUAAGGCCAUGCCCAUUCACCUUGGUCACACCGGUGGUUUGACCCCACCUACACUACAGUCCCGUCUCUCAAAGACUGGGCCAUCUGUCCAUGAGUGAUCAUCCCAGAUCCACUCCUUAGCAUCCUUAGGAUGCCCAUAGACAUGGGGAAUAGCCUUCCCCAAUAUCCCCUUUCUGGUCCCCACCAAAUCCCUUUCUACCCAUGGCCGUGUUCGCUAACACUGCUACUGGAUCAAGGCCCUCAAGCCCGACCACUAAGUCCCACGGUCCUCUGGGACUUCCUCACCACACGACUAUAUCCUUGGUCACUACACCAGAGGACUACUCCUCUUCCUUUCCACAUUCUAGGCCUUCGGGACAACAUUUCGGAACACCGUGGCCUUACACAAGCCUCGUGGGUACUCUCCCCGCCUUCCACCUUUGGGUGCUCUAGCCAUGGGCUUAGAGCGAGGUUCUGUUGAGCCACGCCUGGUAUCCAAGUAGGUAGUGCCACCCACACUUGGACUGGGAGCAUUGGCUAGUCGAUCUCUCGGGGGAACUAGAGCUGGCUCUUGAACACUUCACCAAGUUACCCUGCUUGUCGGUCCAUGUUCACUUUAGUCUUGGACUUCCUAGUGGGCAGCUCAUCACCCAACACUGGGUACAGCCUUCUUGGGCCAAACUGGCCUUUCCUGGCCAAACUAGCUCCACUACAGUCCUCCCCCUUACUAUACUUUUGGAGCUCACCAAACCCCCUAGGGUCUGGGAGACGAACGCUUUGGGCUUUCACCUCUCAGACUUGAACUCGGACUCGGACUCGGGCUCGGGCUCAGACUCAGACUCGGACUCGGACUCGGACUCGGACUCGGACUCAGACUCGGGCUCGGGCUCGAUCUCGGCCUCGGCCUUGGUCUCGAUCUCGGUCCCGGUCUCGGUCUCGGUCUUGAUUUCGACUUCGGACUCCAUCUCAGGUCCAUCUUGGACUCCAUCUCGGACUCCAUCUCGGGUCCAUCUCAGACUCCAUCUCGGACUCCAUCUCGGGUCCAUCUCGAACUCCAUCUCGAGUCCGUCUCGGACUCAAUCUUGGAUCCAUCUCAGGUCCACCUCGGACUCCACCUUAGACUCCAUCUUGGACUCCAUCUCGGACUCCAUCACGGACUCCAUCACGGACUCCAUCUUAGACACUUCCACAUGUCAUGUGUUGGUCCUUUUGGGUCCCUUUUUAGAGCCUCGCUUAUUGCUCGCUUCGUGCUCAUUCCUCGAGCACUUUGUUGGGAGUUCCACUCCCACUCUCGACCUUUCAAGUCGGAGCUUUUAGUCCAAAUGUGUUACGCUUGUUUGGCUUUUGCUUCAGCCACUACCACGUGGUGCCCUUCCGGCUCCACUUUGGGGCCUAGGGAUUUUGUGUCUCACAACUCCACCACCCAUAGACGAAGUUCGAUGUCCUCAUCAAACGGUAAACCCCUUUUGUAAAGUAAUAUUCGCAUGUAUUACCAUUUCCAUCUUUGGCACCUAGCCAAUAUUUGUCUAUGGUUUGACACCAAAGGCUCACCAUGCCUUAUCCAUCUUCUAAGGAGUAUAGUCUCUCCAACAUAGAGACUCACUCGACCACCUGGGGUGGUUUGCUUCUUUUUAUUGGUUCAAUUCUCGCUAAACCUGUUAGAGACACCCUUUCUAACUCAAUUCCACUAUGUAAGGAACCAACUCCCCGAGAUGUCGUAGGCUAAAGGAUCCCCAAAAGCUUGACCGAAAUGACAAAGAGUUCAUCAGAUGGGACCAAGUCGAGGAUCGAGUCCAAGACCGACUCUAGGACUGAGUUCGAGAUAGAGUUCGGAAUCAAGUCUGAGACCGACUCGGGGACCGAGUUUGAGUCCGAGUUCGAGACCGAGUUCGAGACGGAGUCCGAGAUCCGAAAUCGGGUCCGAGACCGAGUUCGAGGUCGAGUCCGAGGUCAGGUCCGAGAUCAGGUCCGAGAUCGAGUUCGAAAUCGAGUCCGAGACCGAAUCCGAAGUCGGAUCCGAAAUCGGGUCCGAGAUCGAGCCCAAAGCGUGCGUCUCCCAGGGGGGGGGGGCUGCAGGGGGUUCCAAAAGUAUAGUAGGGAUAGUGAGGUCCAGGAACCAGUUUUGAAGGGACUCUCCAGUUGGGCUUCCAAACCGACUUGAGGUUGAGACUGGGACCGAGGGGCCUUGGGUGGGAGUGAGCAUGGACUUGGCUAGUGCCGGAGGGGCCAUCCAAGGAAGUGCUCAAGAGCAGCUCCCACUCCUGAAAGGGAAACCGACUGUGGUGCUCCCGGCUCAGGUGGAGUGGUGCCCCACUUGAAUACCUUGUGGCUCAUUGGUCCUCGCCCUUCCGGGGGCUUGAGCCUUCCCUUCGGGAUGGAAGAGGGGGGGUAGAGGUACCCAUACCGGGCCGUUAGGCCACGGUGUUUCGCCCCGACGUCCCAAAGCAAGUGCUGCACCUAAGGCUUGGGAUUUAGAGGGUCCCAUGAUCAAGUCUUGUGGUACCAAGGGGUGUUAGGAAUCUGGAGGCUUGGUGUGCUUGGCUGCUUGUGCCUGCGGGGAGUGUAGCCGAACCUUAAGUCCAGUCUAACCCGGGGAGGGGGAUUGGGAGAGAUUUGGGAAUCUGUAGAUGGAUGGCUAACACUCCGUUGCUCGUGCAGUAAGCAGCUGAAACCAAGUAGGACCAAGUAGGAGCUGGUACCAUAGGCGAGAACCUUGGCGAGGGAACUUAGCACAAGCCAAGGCAGAGUUGGUCGGAUAGGCGAGGUAAGCUGGCAAAUUGGAAAGGAAAAAUUUGUGGCUUACAAUUUGGUAUCGGAGCCUCUUCCUCACUUCUAGCGAAGGAUAGAGGCGGAUUGCUGAGAGAGGGCAAGGGCAGGACGUAAGCGAACCCAGGCAGAGACGGAACCUCCUCCAGAGCUGGAGCCUCCGGUCGAACAGGAGGCGAUGGAUGAGGAAUCCUUGCAUGAGGAGGACUCCAGUGACGCAACUUCCAAACAGGAGUCUAGUGGUGAGGUUCGGUCAUCCAAGGCUCGAUUGGAUGUUCUAGAAGGACAAUUGGCACAGACCAAUGCCCUGCUAGAGACUCUCGUACGCAAGCUAAAGCGUGAUGAGAAGCGGAAGAAAAAGCGAAAGACUACGGAUGCUGGCAGUGCAGAAGGUGCGGACCCUUUGGCAGGGACUGAGGCAAAACCAAACAAGGUCGAACAGACCGAAGUGGAAUCAGUCCCUCAGGCAGUUCCCAAGUACAAACCAAAGCCCCCACCGGUCUUCAAGGGAGUGAACGACUAUAAGGUGGUGGAGGAUUGGUUUUACGAUAUGGAGGACUACUUCCGAGCGUUGCGAUUACCAAGCUCGGAGAAAGUCCCAUGUGCAAAACCAUACUUGGCAGGAUAAUGCCAAGUCUUGGUGGAGAACGACAGAGGCCAACGAAGGACCGGUGGCCACUUGGGAAAUGAUGAAGGCGAGGAUCCGCGCAACUUACGUUCCUCCAAAUGCUACUCUGCAUCUAAGGGACGAGCUGAGUAGGCUGAAGCAGACCGGAACCAUUCAGGAGUAUGUGAAUGGGUUUAUGGCAAAGAGAAUACUUGUCACGGACAUGGGGGAUAUGGAUGCGUUCCAUGCCUUCAUAUCAGGUUUGCAAACCUGGGCUCGCGGUGAAGUAAUGCGGUGGAACCCGACCAACUACAAAGAAGCGUUGGAUGCGGCCAUCAAGGUGCAUUUCAACGAUAACCUGCGAAAGGGGAACACGACGGGGUCGGGAUCCACGUUUAGCAAAGGGGCCAAACCAAGGGGAACGUUUAGCAGAGGGAAAUUCAAGACGAGUUUCUCUAAGAAUGAGUCCUCGGGGUUCCGGAAAGGCAGAUCCGGUGGCCAGCAAGCGAGUACGUGGGGGAGUCAAGCGAAAAGAGACAAACCCACGGAUAAGAAGGUCAAGUCGUAUAGCAGUGUGGGAAACAACGUAUGCUACAACUGCGGUGAAGCGGGACACUUCUCGAGGGAAUGUCCCUACCCGAAGAAGGCCAGAGCCAAUAUGGCCAUCAAGUCGGGUGAAGUCCAAACUGAGGUAUGUGAUCCAGUCCCUAACUCAAAGUUACUCAUUACACGAGCAACUUUGGUAGAGAGUCGUUUGCGACAUCUACUAGCCCUCCGAGGGAAGCUCGGAGGUAGCUUUGUUAAAAUCCUUAUUGACACGGGUGCUUCGGAUAAUUUUGUGGCUGCAGACAUAGUCCGGCAAGCCGGACUAACGGUGCAGCGGCUAGGCGAACCAAGGACUAUAGAGUUUGUUCAAGGUAGCCAAAGCACCGAUGAGGUACUUCGACAAGCGAGAGUCGAAGUGGGGACUUGGAAGGUGGACAUGGACUUCACCGUGUUGGACAUGGCGGGAUUUGACGUGAUCUUCGAAAUGGGCUGGUUCAAUCGAUUCGUGGUAGCCCUGCAUGGACAAGGUAGAAACCUUGUGGUACUGGCGAAUGCCCAAGGAAGAAGAUCUAGGGUGGAGGCCCAAGAUCUAAAGGUAGGGCAAAGCAAGGCCAAAGAUUCCUACUUAAACCUGGUGUCCACAAGAGGACAACUCACUAAAGGAACUAAGGCGGCCUUUUUGUGCUUACUCUCGGUGAAGAGUGACAAAAAGACAGGAAUGGAAGAAGUACCUUUAGUGAUCCAGUGGGUGUUGGACCAAUUCCAGGAUACCAUGCCGGAGGAGCUACCGGUGGGGCUACCCCCAGCACGACCGAUAGAACAUAAGAUUGAGCUGGUCGAGGGUGCUGAGGCAGUGGUUCGUCCCCCUUAUCGUUUGAACGAAAAAGAACUCAAGGAGCUCAAGUGCCAACUAGAGGAGUUGGUGGACAAAGGGUAUGUUAGGUUGAGCAAGUCGCCGUAUGGGGUGCCGGUGUUAUUUGUGAAAAAGAAAGAUGGAUCUAUGCGCAUGUGCAUAGACUACCGGUUGCUCAACAAGUAUACAAAGAAGAACAAGUACCCUUUGCCAAGGAUUGAGGACCUGUUCGAUAGGUUGGGAAAGGCAAAAUACUUCUCGAGGAUUAACCUAAGGUCAGGAUACUACCAGAUCAGAGUAGCCGAGGAAGAUGUCGAGAAGACAACCUGUCGAACGAGGUAUGGGAGCUUUGAGUUUCUGGUGAUGCCCUUCGGGCUAUAUAAUGCACCGGCAACGUUUUCGGUGCUAAUGAACCACAUCUUUGUACCCUAUCUGGAUCACUUCGUGGUCGUUUAUAUCGACGACAUCCUGAUCUAUAGUGAGAUGCUAGAGGAGCAUGCCGAACACUUGGCGAAGGUGUUUGAGAAACUAAGGGAACACAAGCUGUAUGCUAAAGAGAGCAAAUGUGACUUUGCUCAACAAGAGGUAAAGUUUCUCGGGCAUGUGGUGGGCCAGGACGGGCUCAAGGUGGACCCGGAGAAGGUCCAAGCGAUCCAGGAAUGGGAGCGACCAUCCAAUGUACACGAGUUGAGGGCAUUCCUGGGGCUAUGCAACUACUAUCGAAAGUUUAUCAGACACUAUUCGAGAGUAGCCCUGCCCUUAACGGACCAAACAGGAAAAGGGAAGAUGGUGUGGACAGCGGAAUGCGAGGCGGCAUUCAUCCACCUCAAAGGGAAGUUGAGGAAGGCUCCCGUAUUGGCAUUACCAGACUUUGGUAAGGACUUUGAGGUAGAAACGGAUGCUUCGGACUUUGCGUUGGGCGCAGUUUUGAAGCAAGACUACCAUCCGGUAGCGUUCUUCUCGAAGAAGCUGGACAAGGCUCAACAGAAGUGGCCUGCCCACGAGAAGGAAUUGUUUGCGGUGGUCAAGGCGCUCAAGGAGUGGCGACACUACCUUGGGAGACACUUCAAGGUUUACACGGACAAUGUGGCAAUGAAACACUUCUUGUCACAGCCCGACCUAAGAGGGAAACAAGGUCGGUGGGCCAAUGCCUUGGCCGAGUUUGAUUGCGAAAUUCUGUACAAGCCUGGGAAGAGCAACAUCGUGGCGGAUGCGCUAAGUCGAAAAGCGAGCUUGAGGUUGGCAAUAUCCAGCGCAAUAGCAACCUUCUGGGACGAUGUGCGGACAGCAUAUGAGAACGAUGGUCUAGCACAGGAAGUGUUGCUGAGGAAUCUAGAGGCGCGGGAAGCUCACCAGAGAGGUGAGCUGCCAACGGAAGAGAAAACGGGCUAUGCGGAACACAACGGACUCAUUUAUUACAAGCAAACGAGGGUGUAUGUUCCAGAAGGGGAACUAAGGAAGGUGGCCUUAGAAGAGUGUCAUGACGGACCUCUUGCGGGACACGGUGGAGUGCCCAAGACGAUAGGCUUACUCAAAAGGAAGUACCAUUGGCCAGAUAUGGCUAAGGACGUCCAAGACUAUGUAAAGACAUGUCCAACAUGUCAGCAGGUAAAAGCCGUGACUAAGGCUAGUGGGGGCUUGUUGCAAAGCAUCCCAAUUCCAGAUCGCCCGUGGAAAUGUCUUACGAUGGACUUCAUCACGGGACUCCCCCCAAGCGAGGGGUUUGAUGCGAUAUUCGUGGUGGUGGACCGAUUUUCGAAAAUGGCACACUUCAUACCCACCACAACGGAGGUGGAUGCGGAAGGUGUGGCGAAGCUGUUCUUCGAGCAAGUGGUUCGAGUGCGGGGAAGACCAGAAGAUAUCAUCUCAGAUCGAGAUAAGAUCUUCACUAGUAGGUUCUGGAGGACUCUCCUAGAACAGUAUCGCACCAAGUUGAAAUUCAGCACAGCCUAUCACCCACAGACAGGUAUGGGGUAUUAAGUCAAGUUGUUGGCACUAACACUUCUUGACAGACGGACAAACGGAAAGGGUGAAUAGGCAGUUGGAGGAUUAUUUGCGAUGCUAUGUCUCGGGAAACCAGACCGAUUGGGUAAGUCAUUUGGGACUUGCGGAAAUGUGUUAUAACAACUCACCACAUUCGAGUAUCGAGGUGAGUCCAUGGGAAGUUAUCAAUGGGCGAGCUAUUGAAGGUCCUGUGGAACUCGGCGUGGCCGAGUAUCAUGGAGAGUUGCCCACAGUGGAGGCAUUCACGGUGGAAAGACUCAGCAUUAAUCACACAGGAGUUCGCGAUUAAUCUCCCCGACAAGAUCACCACAAUCUAUACGGGAGAUAUCACAAAGUGCUACGAGGCCAUCCCCCUCGAGGGAGAUCAAGGCCUCACGACAGCCAUGACAAACCUCGUCAAUUUGGCUUUCGCGCACCAAAACCACCUCCAUAAGGACCUUUUUCUGAUUCAAAAGAAGAACGGCGAGCUUGAGGCCGAAUGGAAACCUCUACGCCACUCAUCAGUGAAGGCCACCAGAAUGGAUCCAACAAAAGUCAUCGAGCUAAAUCACUUCAUUAUCCGGAACACAUACGUCCGGCUGGGUGACAGAGUAUGGAGACAAGUCCGAGGGAUUCCUAUGGGCUUCUCGUGCUUGCCUCUGUGGUGUAACCUGUACCUAUUCUAUUUCGAGUAUAACUUUAUCACUCGACUCGCUCGUCUAGGCCGGUAUGAUCUGCUGCGCUUAUUCGAACAUACAUUCCGAUACAUGGACGAUCUGGCGUCAAUGAAUAACCCCAUGAUCCUCCGAUUCCUUGACCCCGAUCAAGUCGAAUCCGAAGGAAAUCCAUUCUGGAUAUAUCCAUUACGUUUCCUGGCCAUGCAGAACGAGAUGGAUAAUCCAUUCGUGAACACGGACGGCUCGCUCGUGAAUCUGUCUGCUCACUUCUUGAGCCUUCAGAUUCAGAUCAUACGAGUUGAUGGUACCUUCUUAACCACAAAAUAUGACAAGCGCCGAUCACUUCCAUUCAAAGUCUCGCUGUACAUUCAUCGAGAUUCAAACCGGCCCGUUGCAAACUCAUCCAAGGUGAUCCUGGGGCAAGUCUUUGCGCUUUUCUAUCUGAUUAAUACCGCCGGUGGUGUCGUCCUUGAGAUUGAUAAUCUCGUUGAAUGCUUCGUGGAAAAAGGAUUCCAUCGCUAUGCAUUGAGACGACUCAUCCUCAGUGGUCUGGAUCGUAUCAUUCUCACCAGCCCCCUGACACCGGUACAAGCAGUCUUGGAAAUUCUCUUUGACAUCUGGAGAGAACCAGCCAAUAGGCCACCACAGCUCGACGACUCAGCAAUUUCAAGCUGAGCACCAGGAACUCUGUCCUCUAGACAGGACGAUCCAUCAAUUUAGCAUCAUAUCGAAACAUAAUAGAUUCGAUAUUUAUGCCGUUUUGGAUUGUGAACAACAAAAGAAUUAGUUCCCCCAAACUUACCAUGCAGUCCUUGGUUACGCGCUGAACUAAAAAACGCAAGCGCACCUUUGACUACAACUGUGUUUUGAUUGAUAAAAAUUAAAAAACAACACAAGUUGCUGUUCUCUCACUCUGAGACAGAUCCCACGCCUUAACCACAGCAAGGUCUUCCUUAAAAACAAAUUUUUAAAGGAAACCUUACUUACAGAAAACUCUGUUUUCCCAUGAAUAAACUAAUGGGACACAUGAGUAGACGUGGCAUGGUAAAAAACAAAACCUUGGAUUCCUCACAGAAUCUCGCGCGAAGAAACACGCCGUACGGAUUGGCAAACCUAAUUACAAGCUAUAGCUAUUCGACUUCAUGGCUGCGGGCGCUGGAUUUUCUCACACCGAAAGGUAUGAAGCGACGGGAAAAACCCUAAUGUUAGGGUUUCUCGCUUGCAUCCGCCGCCGCCGCAUUCUCCAGGAGCGCAUCCACAAGCAGAGCAAUCUUGGGCCGCUGCAAGGCUGUGUGCUAGCACAACCACGCACACUUCUCGCCCACUCCAGGAUCAACAGCCGCUUCAUUGCGCACCGCAAGAAUGAGCAGCGCCAACGAAGUGCUUGUUUGGGGAUAGCUCAAAACGAGCUUACACCCACCACUAAGGUCGCGAGGAAUCUCACUACCGCAUUCCUGGCCACGCAAAAACAGGUACAAACGAUUCGUUUUGCUGCUUUUUUUUUACCCUUGGCCUGUAGGAAUCUCUCUCGGCCAGAGCGCUGGAACUAAACACCACAGCGACACAAGGGGUUCUUACUGACUCUGCCCAGGUAGUGCUUGUACUCUCGACUGUUCCAGCUUCUAAUCAUCCGCUUAGAAAAAAGACGGGAUGACAGCGACUGGUCCAGACGGCGAGAUCCAUGAGUCAACGGAUAGCGAUCAGGUUGAGCAUGUUCCUUAGCUCUAAUCUUUGGAAGUCACUUCUGAUGUGCAGCCGGACAUGUACCUGAGUACAUUGGCUCGUGAGCAUCAGUCGCGCAAAUCUCAGUUCAGUUUUGAGACCUAGCUUUGUACUUUCACAAAAUGAGAGAUAGAGCUAGCGGAGAUUGCAUUACUAAUCCUCGUCUUCCAUGAUACAGGUACCCCCCGGACACCCAAACCGUAGGAGGUGACAUAGGAAUUGUCUAGGGAAAUCGUUAUGGUCGUGGUCGGUACCGGGUUACCGGGCGGAUGAUCCUAUGCCUCGGACGAAUGUACCGAAAACGACCUAGUCGAUCUGCUUAACCAAAAAUACCCACGAGGGACAGCUGUGCCAGGGUGUGAUACCUGGCUGCCGAUACAAAAUGCCAUGCGAUCCAUCCCUACUUUCCCGCCGUACCGGAUAUGGACUGAUGCGUGGCUUUCCAGGAUUUCUGGCUACCCGAGAUGACGGAGUACGCGAACACUGAUGAUUUUGUGGCUCCCGUCCCGGCAGUGCAGUACUUCUUACUGCUGUUAGCCGCAAAGAAACCUGAGCGCUUACGUGAGAUUUUUGCAUAUGAGAAAAACAUUGCGGACAAGCUGCUCACGGUGCCGGAAUCCGAGGCAGUUGGCGAGAACAAGCGAUACCUCUGCCUCUUCCAGCAGGUUGAAACCAAAGAAUGGUGGUGCCUAGUCUGGACACUCCUUACCGAUCGAGUCAAUGAUAACCAGGCUCUACUACGACAGUGGAUGGCGGACAUGGAAAAAGAACUCGUUAAUUUCUCCUCCGCCGAACCAAGGAUCACUUGGAAAAUGCUCCAAUGGUCCCAAGAAUACAACCGGGUUACAGGGUAUAAAGGCUCGUACGGGAAAGGUAUUGAUCUGGGAAAACCACAGAUCGACCUCAGCAAUGGUUUUGAGUUCCUGAGCCAGAGUGCACGGACGCUCAUGACUGGACUCAUCCCAUCACAGCCGGAUACUCUAGAAGGAGCAAACGUGGACCGCAUUGAUAAUGGUCGUAUCAUGUUUGACCCGUUGGAGAAUUUGAGUGGAUGGAAAUUUCCCUUCGCCACCACAAGAGUUCUCAAUGCAGCCUCCCACCGCCUUCCAGAACCGCAUAAGUUUUGGACGCUAACGAAUCCUUUAGGAUGGACAUCCCCCUUGGAGGCAUCCGACUGGAUCCAGAUGGUGGCUUUGUUACGACCGGAUGCAGUACAGUGGUCAAAACAGACACUGGAAGCAUCUUACCGACAUGCAACGUUGGGAAACUAUGCUUACAAACCAGCAAUCCCGUUCCAAAAGACCGCGGAUGAGGUUUUCAAGCAGGCUGCUUUCCAUGGACGCUGUGAUGGCGAUGCCUUUUUGAAUACAAAAAGCUGGAACCUAUCACAAGGAGAUCAACAUACAUGGAAUCAGCUUCGACCGUACUGUCGCUGCGAUUGCCAGGGAUGUGAAGGAGGAAUUGUCUGGCUUGACUCCUUGUUCUGGUACAUGCUUAACAACCUGGACAAGUACUGGCCAGAUUCAAGCUUGACGUCGUCAGACCGCCUCGCCAUCUUCCUGUCCCUACUUACGGCUAAUCCGCAAGUGAUCCUCCAGAUAGCUGCCUUCCUUCAAAUUCGAGAAUGGAUGCAAGCAGCGGCUAUUGAGGUGGCGAAAAAACCAGCCAACCCGGAUCUGGAGUUCAUCCCGCAUGGGCAGACCAAGAUGAAUAUAUGCAAGUUCAUCCCCGUCCAACAGUACCGAUCCCCAACGACUUCACGAUGUGAUGGUAGCGAAAGCAAUGGAGCUUUCUCACCCACACCGUCCUCACAACGCACGCUGGCGAGGUCUCGAGGCUUACCACCUAAUCGGAAACGUGAUCGUCCCGAUGGACAAACAUCCACGGGGCUGACAUCACAGGAGACGGGCACACCACCAUCAAUCUCCAAGACAUCCGAGGCCAAUGCAAGCUCAAACAAACAGAGGCUACGCAAAAGGCUCGGUGCAAGAAAGCAGCGAUAAAUAAAUUUCUGUUUUCUUCUUCCAUGAUUGGUAGCUAAUGAAAGUGCUCUCGUGAUUGCUUCCACAGUGUACUUUACACUACAUCCAUCAUUUGGCCGGACGUAAAUGGUUGGUCAAAGAGGGAACGGAGUGUGAACGAAAAUUCGUACACCUCCGAUAUAUUAGCGCCGGAUUCGAGAGGAUCAGUAUCCGCACCCUUAUGAGGGAAUGCCUGGAAAUGAUUGGCCUAGAUGCGGAACUCCUGGAUCCCAUCGUAUUUUGCUGGAGGUAUGAACCCCAGAUCAAACACGACUUUUAUAAACCCAAGGAGGUUUUCUGUAACUGGGACACUCAUGCACCACUGGUUUGCGAAUGCAAACGAUGGCCAUGGGUGGCUUACCUCGACGAGACUGGACAUGUGCGUACUUUGGAUCCAAAGAUCCUUGGCUCACGCAUACUCACGACUGUCAUCGAGAAAGGUCUCAAUCACAUCACCCCAAAACCACUCCAGACAGCAAAAAUCAUUGCUGAAGUCUGUGAAGCCUGGGAUCGGAUUGCCAGUAUGAUCCCCGAUGUCUACAUCCGUAACUGGCCUAGCAACGAAGCUGCUGUUAAACAGCAUAUCAAUUACCGGGUCCGAAUGGCAGUACAAAAUUGUCAGACCACCCUGAUGGUAGAUGUGAUGACCACCCCUGAGGCAAAGCGGCAAUUAGAGUGGGUACAUAAACACUUGUACAUCAGUGGCGCCGAUAAAGCGGCCAACACACCCACCUUCUUUUGCAAAACGUUGGCCCGGGAGCAAGCGCUUGCACGGAUGAAUAGUGACGACUUUUCACUAGUAGUCUCGGACAAUAAUGUCCCUGAGACGCCUGAGCAAGUUGUAAAACAACUGCUCGGUGAACCACCCUUACAGGAAUUCCCGCCGCAGAAACCAGAUCUCCCUUACCUUAUGGGAAUCUAUAAAGCGCACAAGAAUAAAAUGCACUGGUUAACGAAUGCGGAUGGAUGUGUCUUCUCUGAAAUCACAUUUUGCCUCACAGCUAUCCUGAAAGGAAUACAGGAGGCGCUACAAAACGUAGCCGAUGAUUUCUAUGCACGGGCAAAAUUCUUUGGAGGAAAAACGAACACGUGCUGGAUCCUUGGAUCCACACAGGAGUUCGCGAUUAAUCUCCCCGACAAGAUCACCACGAUCUAUACAAGAGAUAUCACAAAGUGCUACGAGGCCAUCCCCCUCGAGGGAGAUCAAGGCCUCACGACAGCUAUGACAAACCUCGUCAAUUUGGCUUUCGCGCACCAAAACCACCUCCAUAAGGACCUUUUUCUGAUUCAAAAGAAGAACGGUGAGCUUGAGGCCGAAUGGAAACCUCUACGCCACUCAUCAGUGAAGGCCACCAGAAUGGAUCCAACAAAAGUCAUCGAGCUAAAUCACUUCAUUAUCCGGAACACAUACGUCCGGCAUUUGGAAUCUAGAAUCAUGAGGGAUUCCUUGGAACGGGCUCAACAAAGGCAAACCAAAUACGCGAACCAGAAGCGUCGGGAUGUAGAGUUCCAAGCUGGGGAGAAGGUGUGGCUGAACACCAAGAACCUCAAACUACCAAGUGGGAUCAGCCGAAAGUUGACCCAAAGGUAAAGAUGCAUGUAUUCCUGUAAAUGAAUUGAUCUUGAGUUCCUUAAGCAGAUUCGCGGGGCCUUACGAGAUUGAGGCACGAAUCGGUAAAGUGGCUUACCGACUCCGACUUCCUCGAGAGAUGGGGAAGAUGCACCCAGUGUUCCACGUGAACUUACUCAAGCCGUACUUUGAGGAUCCGCUUCGGAAGGACCAAGUGAGACUUUUACCUGAGGUUAUCCAAGGGGAAGAGGAAUACGAAGUCGAGGCCAUCCUCAAUGCGCGCAAGAGCAAGCGACAAGGACACGAGGUGAGAGAGUUCCAUGUGAAGUGGAAAGGAUUUCCACACUGCGAAGCAACAUGGGAACCGGAGGAGAACCUAGCGAACGCGUGAGAUCUAGUAGAGGAAUUUCUGCAAGGCAGAACUCUAUGUACUUAUGCAAAAUUCAAUUAAAAAUAUCAAUUUGCAAAGUUGAGCAAGUGGCAUAUGUUGGGACCCGAAGGCACGCCAAAGGUAAGCUAAUUAGCAUGGGUUGGAUAGGUCGACCAGGCGUAGGGCACUACGCCCAACUCCCCGCGGGGAUGUUGAAUCCGUAGACGUAUUCUAUGGAGGUUGGGUUCGAGUCCCAACCCCCUAGUAAAGCAAGGCUGGGUUCAAGUCCUGACCCCAUACUAGGGCGUGGUGAGGUGAGGAGUAUAGGGACACCUAUAUUCCGUUGUCAUGGGCUCUUGGCCGGGGAGGCUAACUUAGGCACACCGCUAAGUGGGGGGAUGCCCCCGGAGACAUGGUCAACAAGUCGUAGGAUAAAACGAGACGUUCGAUGUGGGCAUCGAACUUCUUCUAUGGGUGGUGGAGUUGUAAGGAACCGACUCCCCGAGAUGUCGUAGGCUAAAGGAUCCCCAAAAGCUUGACCGAAAUGACAAAGAGUUCAUCGGAUGGGACCAAGUUGAGAAUCGAGUCCAAGACCGACUCUAGGACCGAGUUCGAGAUAGAGUCCGGAAUCGAGUCCGAGACCGACUCGGGGACCGAGUUCGAGUCCGAGUUCGAGACCGAGUUCGAGAUGGAGUCCGAAAUCCGAAAUCGGGUCUGAGACCGAGUCCGAGGUCGAGUCCGAGGUCGGGUCUGAGAUCGGGUCCGAGAUCGAGUCCGAAAUCGAGUCCGAGACCGAAUCCGAAGUCGGAUCCGAAAUCGGGUCCGAGAUCGAGCCAGAGACUAAGUCCAAAUACUAAUACGGGUCAAGGGGUGAAAGCCCAAAGCGUGCGUCUCCCAGGGGGGGGGGGCUGCAAUGGGUUCCAAAAGUAUAGUAGGGAUAGUGAGGUCCAGGAACCAGUUUUGAAGGGACUCUCCAGUUGGGCUUCCAAACCGACUUGAGGUUGAGACUGGGACCGAGGGGCCUUGGGUGGGAGUGAGCAUGGACUUGGCUGGUGCCGGAGGGGCCAUCCAAGGAAGUGCUCAAGAGCAGCUCCCACUCCCAAAAGGGAAACCGACUGCGGUGCUCCCGGCUCAGGUGGAGUGGUGCCCCACUUGAGUACCUUGUGGCUCAUUGGUCCUCGCCCUUCCGGGGGCUUGGGCCUUCCCUUCGGGAUGGAAGAGGGGGGGUAGAGGUACCCAUACCGGGCCGUUAGGCCAUGGUGUUUCGCCCCGACGUCCCGAAGCAAGUGCUGCACCCAAGGCUUGGGAUUUAGAGGGUCCCAUGAUCAAGUCUUGUGGUACCAAGGAGUGUUAGGAAUCUGGAGGCUUGGUGUGCUUGGCUGCUUGUGCCUGCGGGGAGUGUAGCCGAACCUUAAGUCCAGUCUAACUCGGGGAGGGGGAUUGGGAGAGAUUUGGGAAUCCGUAGAUGGAUGGCUAACACUCUGUUGCUCGUGCAGUAAGUAGCUGAAACCAAGUAGGACCAAGUAAGAGCUGGUACCAUAGGCGAGAACCUUGGCGAGGGAACUUAGCACAAGCCAAGGCAGAGUUGGUCGGAUAGGCGAGGUAAGCUGGCAAAUUGGAAAGGAAAAAUUUGUGGCUUACACACUACUCAUUCUCGAAUAGUCUCAAAUUCCAUCGACAUAACCUUUUCACUUUGGAACUUUUAAUUUUGACUUCUCAGAGUCAAUUUCCUAGGUGUCUUUGACACCUUACAUUGCACAUGGUGCAACUCCAGUUCCCCAUCCUAUGAAGUUUUUUACUUGAGGGCACCAUCAUCCUUUCUUCGAUAUCGUGCCACCUUUGGCACUAAGUUCCAGUUAUUAUAAUUUGUGCUAGGGCUGCCCACAGCCUUAUUAUUUGGCUACCUUACCGCUCCCCCUUUUGGAGUAUCCACUUUUGCCAAAUCAAAGCGGUUAGGAAUCCAUCCUUGGGGAAACAUUGCCUUUCCCACAAUCCGUUAGCACUCAACACAUUAAUGUUCUUGCUUAACUUUGCCAUUUGGAUUCUUUUCUAUAAUUCCCAUGGCUCUUUUCUUAGCCACUAGUCUUUUGCUCCUAUCCUUGAUUGUUGCACCCAGCAACAUAGGAUCACUACCUCCAUUUUCGAGGUUUCUUUUCGGUUCCAUAGCAACACUUUGCUUUGCCAAGUCCAAAGGGUGUUCACCCUUAGUACCCCUCUUUAAUAUUUUCUGUUGUGGGCUCUAUCCACGGCCCAACUUUUAAGACCCUCCCUUGGAUCUCUUGUAGAGACUACUUUCCUCAUACUUACUAUGCCAUCACAUUAACAUAGCUCAUUUCCCUUAGGUGUUCUUCCCACCUGAUCACCUUGACCAAGCUAUACCAUCAUCAAUAAUUCAAAUCAACACUUUUGAACUAGGAACUUUAUCCCUUAAACUCACAAGGACCUUGUCCUUAUUUUAGCCAUAAGACCACCUAAUGAUCUAACCUUGGCACCUUAACAGGUUUGCCAAUAGGUAUUAGGUCUUCCAGACCUUUAAGUUGUUGACCAUGACCCCGGGGGCAUCCCCCACACUUGGCGGUGCACUCAAGCCAGCCCUUCCGGCUAAGGGUCCAUAGCAACUGAGACUGGGUGUCCCCAUUUCAUUCACCACGUCCUUGGUGCCACUCGCACCAAAGUGUUCAAGUUAGAUAUGCCGAGCCACACUAAGCAAUCUAACUGUGCAUCACAACUCCGAGGCAUCCCUCGCUUGGUGGUGUGCCCAAACCAAUCUCCUCACUGAGAGUCCAUGACCACCGAAAAAUGAGUGUCCUCAUAUUCCAAACCAUCACCACACCCUAGUGAUUUGGGACUCGAACCCAAGCACUAGAGGGUCGGGACUCGAACCCAACCUCCGUAUAUGCAUCUAUGGAUGGCAUCACACAGGAUGCCUGGUGUGACUCCCCACGCCGGUGCACCAUCAUGUACUUAAAGCGUGUUAUAGAUCACAGCUUAGGAACCGAGUUCCUCUGCACUGUUAAAUCCUCUCACUUGACAAGUCUGUGAUCAUGCAUGGACUCCUCUAUGCUCGGCCCCAUGGGCUACCCCUUUUGAAGUUAGCACCUUUAAUUAGGGGAUUUGUUCCCCUGACUUGCCAAUCUCACUUAGCAAGUCAUCCGGCCACCAUAAUAUGGUUCAUGCAUAAGCGUGAAAGUCCUUAACCAUCGACUUUCAUUCAAAGCCCUCUUCUUUGAACACUCAAGAACUACUUCUCCAACCUUGAUAGCCUCACCUCAUGGCUAGCUUCAAGACCACGCUUCUGCUGCGCCACUCCGAUUUCGCGCACUCUAGGAACCAUUUACACUUGGCUUUCUAGAUACUUAUCUACCUAGAAUUGUCUUUAGGAACAUUCAAGGAACUCUGUUCCUUAGCUUGCCAAGGCUUCUCCUUCGCAAGCUCCCUACUCCCCAUAUGGUCUAACAUGGAUAAUUCCACAUUUUAGACUCUCUAUGGCAUCGUAGUUGCUAGUAGUAAUAUCCUUGAGCACCCUUUUGAUUCUCCACUCCCAACUUGCAUAACCACUGUUGGUUAUGCCCUUCAAUUUUUAUGGUUCAGUUCCAUCCCAAUACUACUUACCUUUUGGCCUUAUAUGUUUCCUUUGGUUAUUCUCCUCCAAACUAGGAGGAUAGCUUUGCACCUUCUACCAUGCCUUAGCAAGUAUUCAUAGGGAUGAACCUACCCAAUAGCUUAGGGAGUGGUUCCUCAAUCUGGGCAUGCUCACCUUAUAAUCCCACAUAUCGGGAUUAACGUUGCUACUUAUAGGCCUCUAUAUGCCUAUUACUAGCCUUGCCAAAAUCCCAUUUUUUGUUUUAUCCAAAUCAAGUAGACGGAUUUCUUCUGUCUCCAGAACCUUGGACGUUUGGAUAGCACCUUCUAUCCAUCAUUUGCUAGGGACUUAGUCUCUUGGGCAUUAUCUAAUGCCCUUGUGACUCCAAACACCACCUCUUGGGGUUCUAGAGUGUUUGGGUGUCCCAAUGAUGGCGUCCUUGACAAUGAGCAUUUCCUUUUAUUAUGACAUUGACUUACUAUAUUGCAACAUAAGCAACUUAUCCCCGAUAAGGGUAUAUUUAACUUUUUUAUGCUAUUAAAAAGUCUUGGGUAGCUAUCUUCUACCCGUUUAACCAAUUACCUGCAUCUCAUGCUUAGUUGCCUCAUAGUUGUCAAGUCCUACAACUCAUUGCUUAGUGCUUCCACACCUCCAUCAUUAUUUGGGUCACCACACUCCAACCACAUGCCUUCCUGUAUAAGCUAUGCCAUUCCCAUUUCCAUUGGGAUUCCCUUGGCAAGGGGUUCUCAUGAACCCAUCAACAUAACCUCAAGGCAUCACACCUUGGCCCAUUUGGUGUCUCCACACCAUCGGCUCCAUGCAUCUGCCUUUAUGAUACUUUGCAUUUGUGUCUAGGUCUUUGCCAAGACCAACCCAAUUGUUUCUUAUGCUAACUAUCCGUUAGCACUACACCAUAGUGUUCGCACACAACUCUGCACCAAAGUUGCUUUUUCUAGGAACACCUUUCCCAACACUUUAGCAUGGCACAUUCUGCCAUCAAUGAGAUACCCUCUAUUCUCAUCCUUGGAUCCUAUGAUCCCCCCCUAUCAUUUGUGGGGUACAACACACGUCAGUCCAAAUGCUUCCAUCAAUCCUUCAUGAUUAUUCCUUGACUCUAUUUGAGUCCUCCAGCUUUUUGGACUUUGUCAUCCGACGACCCAUGAGGUCCCACCUUUGAGGUGUCAGCUCACUGGAAUACAACUUCUUGUAUUCAAGUCCUACUCACAAGGACCAUCUUUGCAAGUGUUACUCCGACACUUGAUUUGUUCUCUUGGGGCAACCUUUUGCCCCUUAGGACCACUUGUCCAUAUGAUGAGAAUACCAACUCAUCCUCUAAGUACACCCCCAACUCCUUGGGUUGUUCCAACAUUUAUUAGAGGUAGCCCUGACUACCAUUUCAAAGACUUAUGUCCUCUUCCGUAUUUGACCUUCCACAGUCAUUAAUUCCGAUCUCAAAUUCAUGAGCACCAGCCUCAACUAUAUGAGGGUAAUCUUGUGACUCCAUUAUCGUCUUGGAGUUUGCAUCUUUCCCGUGAUCCCAACUAUAGUUGUUUACCAUAACUACAUUAGCCCGUUUGUCGCAUCAAAUGCUCAUCUGGAUCACAUCCUCAACUCUCUGAGAAAACCCUCAUACUAUUCCCAAGAUCCCAAAGUCAUUCCCUUACUGGCCCUUUUCCAUCCACCACAUCGUGCACAAGUUCACACAUGAAAUCGAGUGGAGAGCCAUGUCCUCUCGACAUGCUACUCCUCGAGGAUAGGUCCAUACCUAGGACUUUCCAAUUCCAAUACAAGUGGUGAUAUACUUGGCCACCAAUAAGAGUCGGACUAAGGAGCAGCUCUGAUACCAAAUUGUAAGCGACUAAAUUUUCCAUUCUACUUUAGUCACUUAACCACACCUUUGACCACUUGGAGGAGUCUCACUCACAACCUCCAUAAGUCCUAUUUUGGAUUGGGCUUGCUAGCCCAGAGAAUGGCAUCUUCACCACUCAACCUUUGCACUUGGUCCAAGUGCUUCAUGUAUCUUAUCCCAUGACCGACACCCCAAGGUACCACCGACGCAUCAGCCCGUUACGCUAAGGCCAUGCCCAUUCACCUUGGUCACACUGGUGGUUUAACCCCACCUACACCAUAGUCCCGUCUAAGACUGGGUCAUCUGUCCAUGAGUGAUCAUCCCAGAUCCACUCCUUAGCAUCCUUAGGAUGCCCAUAGACAUGGGGAAUAGCCUUCCCUAAUAUCCCCUUUCACGUCCCCACCAAGUCCCUUUCUGCCCAUGGCCGUGUUCGCCAACACUGCCACUAGAUCAAGGCCCACAGGCCUGACCACUAAAUCCCACGGUCCUCUGGGACUUCCUCACCACACGACUGUAUCCUUGGUCAUUACACCAGAGGACUACUCCUCUUCCUUUCCACAUUUUAGGCCUUCGGGACAACAUUUCGGAACACCAUGGCCUUACACAAGCCUCGUGGGUACUCUCCCUGCCUUCCACCUUUGGGUGCUCUAGCCAUGGGCUUAGAGUGAGGUUCCGUUGAGCCACGCCUGGUAUCCAAGUAGGUAGUGCCACCCACACUUAGACUGGGAGCAUCGGCUAGUCGAUCUCCCGGGGGAACUAGAGCCUGCUCUUGAACACUUCACCAAGCUACCCCGCUUGUCGGUCCAUGUUCACUUUAGUCUUGGACUUCCUAGUGGGCAGCUCAUCACCCAACACUGGGUACAGCCUUCCUGGGCCAAACUGGCCUUUCCUGGCCAAACUAGCUCCACUACAGUCCUCCCCCUUACUAUACUUUUGGAGUACACCAAACCCCCCAAGGUCUGGGAGACGAACACUUUGGGCUUUCACCCUCUCAGACUCGAACUCAGACUCAGACUCAGACUCGGGCUUGGGCUCGGUCUCGGCCUCGACCUUGGUCUCGAUCUCGGUCCCGGUCUCGGUCUCGGUCUCGAUUUCGACUUCGGACUCCAUCUCGGAUCCAUCUCAAACUCCAUCUCGGACUCCAUCUCGGGUCCAUCUCGAACUCCAUCUCGGACUCCAUCUCGGACUCAAUCUCGGAUCCAUCUCAGGUCCACCUUGGACUCCACCUCGGACUCCAUCUCGGACUCCAUCUUGGACUCCAUCUCGGGUCCAUCUCAAACUCCAUCUCGGGUCCGUCUCGGACUCAACCUUGGGUCCAUCUCGGGUCCAUCUCGGGUCCACCUUAGACUCCACCCUGGGGUCCUUCUCGGACUCCACUUCGGACUCCACUUUGGACUCCAACUCGGGUCCAUCUCGGACUCCAUCUCAAACUCCAUCUUGGUCCAUCUUGGACUCCAUCUCGGACACUUCCACGUGUCAUGUGUUGGUCCUUUUGGGUCCCUUUUUAGAGCCUCGCUUAUUGCUCGCUUCGUGCUCAUUCCUCGACCACUUUGUUGGGAGUUCCACUCCCGCUCUCGACCUUUCAAGUCGGAGCUUUUAGUCUAAACAUGUUACACUCGUUUGGCUUUCGCUUCAGCCACUACCACAUGGCACCCUUCCAGCUCCACUUUGGGGCCUAGGGAUUUUGUGUCUCACAGCCAUCUCCUUCUUCUCCCCCUUAGGACAUGGUUGAUGUACUUUGGAGAGCUUGUUGAAUUGGAGUGCUAGAGUCGAAGUUGGGUAUACAGUAAAGAAACCACUAUAUUCCUUGAUAAGACUUAAAAUAUACUGAUUUUUCCCAUCAUAUAUGCCCAAAUAAAAGGAAAUUUACCAUGUUUGGAGAGUUGUUCUUUAAACCAUUUAAGACUUGCUGUCCUUCAGGCCAUUAUGAGAUUGUCAACAUAAACACACACGACAAUAAGUGAGCCAUCAUGAAAACAAUAAUGUAGAUUCCAAUCUGCUUCUACAUGAGAAAAACUAUAGUUAGAAAAAACUUGUGCAAAGUAUUAUACCAAAUCCUUAGUGAUUGUUUUAAUCCAUAAAUGAGUUUAUAAACUUCCUUUAGAUUUGGAGGCUGUUGCUCAUACACCAGUUCCUCCAAUUGGCCAUUGAGAAAUGCAUUCCUGACAUCCAUUUGCUCAAUCUCAAGGUCUAAAUGAUUAGCAAUUGCAAGAAUAAACAAAUAGAAACCAUCUUAACUAUGGGUGAGAAAUUCUCACUAUAAUCAAUUCCAUGUGUAUCCUUUUGUGACUAACCAUACUUUAUACCAAUUAAUCUCACCUGUCUCCUUAUAUUUUAUUUUGUGAACCCACUUACAUUGUAUGAUUGAAACUUUGCAAGGAACCUCCUAUGAUGAAAUGAGUGUCCAAGAACCACUCUCCAAUUGAGCAUGAUAUUCAUCUUGCAUUGCUUCUCGCCAAUGAAAAUGUUGCAAUCCAAAGUGUGCUUCAUCUAAAUUUGUUGGCUCGUGAAUGACUUGUGUGGCUUGUGCAUAAUAAUGUAGAAUGUGGGAUGUAGGUUUCCAAGGUUUGAGAGAAUGUCUUGGUAGUGAACUAGCAUUUGGAGCAUCCAAAGAUUCACCAUUCUCUCACUCUAAUAAGCCACUUUCUCUAGAUCUUCAUGAAUAAUAUCCAAUCACUAGAAUUCUGAAGUGAAGUACCUUGUUUUUAGAGUUUAGAGCCAUUAUCAUCCAUAGCUAGAGAAAAAACUUCUUGAGGUAGUAGUGGAUCCUCAGGUGGUGGUUCAAGAGGUAGUGGUAGUGGUGGUUCCAUUGAAGAAGCCUCUGGAGUUGAUACCACUUCCUCAUCACUAUUAUUUCCAUGUGCAUUGAUUAGAAUUGAAUGUAAAAAAUACCUGGUGUCUUUCUUAUUACUAAUUGAUGAAAUAGAUUACACUGGUACAUCUUCUCGAAAGAAAAUAGUACACCUAACCAGCACCUUCUUUUGACUAAAAAUCCAAACCCAAGCCACCUCUAGUAUUCUCACUAUAGCCAAGCAUCAUGCAUCUCAUUGAGUGAUCUUCCCAUUUAUUUUGUCUUUCCUCAACUGAAAUGUAUGCUACACACUCAAACACACAUAAGUAUGUAGUAGAUGGUUUCGAACCUAUCUAAAUUUUGUAUAACAUUUUUAUCCAGUAUUGCUUUUGUAGGCAGAAUAUUUUGCACAUGAACUGUAAUAUUCACAACCUUGGCCCAAAAGAAUACUGAAACAUUUUGAUCUGGCUGCAUUAAGGACUAUUAACAUCUUUCGCUCCACGACCCCAUUUUGACCAUAUUCAUAUGGUGUAGAGAUUUGGAGGAAGAUACCACAUGAUGCAAGGAUUGUCCAGAAUUCUCAUGAGAGAAGUUCCCAUCCUCCAUCGACUCUGAGUGUGCGGAUUAUCAUUGCAUAUUUAUUUUCUAACUCUCAAAUCCAUUCCAGAAACUUAUGAGGCACCUCAAAUUUCUGUCAUAAGAAAUAUAAUGACUUAGAUCGUCCACAAUUAGUAGGAAAGAACAAACACCAUUGAGUGACUUUACUGGUGAUGCUCCCCAAAUGUCGACAUAAACUAAAUCAAAAACAUUUUACCUCAAGUAGACACUUUUUUUGAAGGUGGCUUUUUUUUCAUCUUAACUUGAAGAUAUACCUCACAUGUCAUACUGUCGCUAAUAUGCUUGUUUUUGCUCCAUUCACACCCCAUGACCACUCCCAAUACCUUCUUCUUAGAGAACUUGGCUUCCAUGAUGGAAAACCAUCGAAAUGCAUUAUCAUGAGAAAGAAGAAACUUCCCUUCUUCCUUUCCCCUCAGCCUGAGCCCUUACUGUCUAGUCUAUUCUUGCCUUGAAGGAGAAACAUUCAGAUCCAUAUUGGAAAAGCCAGAGCCCGAGAAAAGAGAAUCUUUUGAUUUCUCUGAUACUAUGAUGAAACAAGUGUAAAGGAAAAGUACUGGGCUUGUAUUGAUACUCCACUUCUUGAUUUAUAGUUCCUUUGAUUGCACCUUGAUCUCUCCUUGGUUCCAACAAUCCACUUAGUAGGCCCAGUGGGCGACAGUUCCAGAACCCCAGCCUGUAUCUGGUUACAGAUGCUCAACUUUUGGAACCAUGGUAUUGCUCAUGCUCUUGCUUUCGUUUUUCAUAGUGUACUUUUCCUUGCACAGGGUGACACCCUGCUCAAAAGAAUAGUGAGCAAUGGAAGCACAUAGGAGGUAAGGAGCGAUCCCGCUUUGCCCUAUAGUUGCUCACGUGAAAGUGUGACGUGAAAUUCACUGGCAAAAGUUUUCCUUUAGCAAGGACACCGGGAUUCCUUCCGGGAAAACCAGGCAAUGCCUUCCCUGCGAACAACACCUUUCGGAAUCCUCACCUCCGCGUUCCAACAACCUUCUCCUUUUCGUCCUUCAGAGUUUUUAGCAAGAUGCCGAACUUCGGUAUUUUCUGCAUGCUUAUUUUGUCUCAAAGCCGGAACUUAUUCUGAAACUCAGGUAUCCAAUCGCAGCACUCGUGAUUUGAACCCCAAAGUUAUUGAAUCUCCUCGUUGCUUCCAGUCAUCAGCUUGGAAUUUACCAGACAAUAGUUCCCUUAUCCAUCCCGCUGCAAAGCAGCUUGGACUGGAGAGCACCCUGGUCUCGCUGGCCUCAAUGGCCCAGCGAAUCAUUUCCAAAACGAAGCGGCUAAUCACCACCCUUCCAGUGAAGUCCCCAACUCCGACCUGGGCCGAUAGACGGGCACCAAGUUCCUCUCCUCGCCCCUCUCCGCUCACAGGCAAUUGUCAUCGGUGGCAAUGCUGGAGGGAGAAAACCCCCAAGAAAUGGUGGCAUGAUCUCAGUGAUCCCACAAUCUUGUAAACAAGGGGAUUGUUUUCCUCCGCUGCUAUUCUCACCCCUCACGCCCGGAUCUCGUUGAGCAUCUCUCGAGCGAAGGAAGGUGAAAAGGUUGCGAGGAUGGCGAUAUGGAGAGGACGAUCCUCAUCCAGAACUGGAUCAAGGAAUAUGCUAAUUUUAAAUUGAUUCAAUCUGUUAUAAUAAAUGUAAAUUGUUUUCCACGGGAUUAACGACCGAGCAAAAAUGAGCCUCAAGAAACAAUCCUGCUGUGGGAAAAACCAACCUCUUUUUUUUUUACUUUACGAGGAGGAUGCGUGCUUCGAAACCCAUUCCACCAAGGUCCCCACAGCGAAUCCAGUCGCCAUUUUCUUCUUCUCGUUCCACACGGGUCCGGCGAUGUCGAGAUGAGCCCAAGGAAUUUUCUCAUCGACAAACUAUCCAUCCAUCAAGAAUGGAAGAGAUUAGAAGUUCUUCCACAAGAACAAAACGAAAGAAGUACCUGUUUCAAGAAGAGCGACGCCGUUAUGGAUCCGCCAGGACGUCCACCCGUGUUCACCAUGUCCGCGAUUCCCGACUUCAUCAUCUCCCAGUAGUUUUCUUCCAUUGGCAUCCGCCAUAGCUUCUCUCCGGCGGCGCUUGACGCUUGGGACAGUUCCUCCGCGAGCUCGUCGCUGGGAGUAAACAUGCCUGUUUUGCCAUGGAGUUAGAAAAACAACUCUAGGAGAGGACGUUACCUCCAAUCUCGUUGCCCAACGCGAUAAUGCACGCUCCUGUCAAGGUUGCCAAAUCCACGAUCUGUUUUUGCAAAGAAGUUUAGCUCAGAUACUUGGUAGCUGCAAAAAAGUAGCUUUUACCUUGUCAACCUUGAGGUUGCAAGCAUAUACAAGCGCGUCCGCCAACGUUAGCCGGCCUUCGGCAUCAGUGUUGUUUACCUGAAACAACACAAUUAAACCAUUUGUGUGUUCUCAAAAUCUUCGCACCUCAAUCGUUUUCCCAUUUGAAGCAGUGAGGAUGUCGCCGGGUCUCAUGCCCGCACCACUGAUCAUGUUUUCGCAUGCCGCAACUAUGAAAUGGACCUGCAAGCAUUCCCUCAGCACAAUUAUACGUAGCGAACGUGUGGAGAGUUACCUCCACUCCGAGAGGCUGAAUAGCUCCAAGAGCUUUUGCUGCACCCAAGGCAGCUGCUGCGCCACCCAUGUCAAACUUCAUGAGCUCUAUGCUCGAGCCUUGGAUCUUCAAAUUGUAGCCACCACUAGUUUAGCAAAAACGUUAUAGCAAACCACAAUAACAUGGAAGCAAUGAAAGAUACCUGUCAAAUGUAAGUCCCUUGCCAAUAAUUGCCAGCUUCGUCUUGACAUCCCCACUUGGUGGCUUGUACUGCAAAUGGAUGAACUUCGGAGGAUUCACCGAAGCAGCAGCGACUCCAAGGUAAGAUCCCAUCUUCAGCUCCUUACACUCGGCUUCGUCAAGAAUUUUGGCCGUGAAAACAUCACUGUGAGAGGAUGCUAUACUUACAGCCUCCUCGGCGAGCGCACCUAGAAUUUUCGACCAAAGGUUACGAAGGAAAGAGAGUUUUCCAAGUCUAGAACUUACUAGGCGUAAGAACAUUGGCAGGUGCAUUGACGAGCUGCCUUGCUGAUAUCACUCCAGUGCAAACUUUCACCAAGUUUUGGAGUUUUUUCUCUAGUUCCGGUGCCGACCCAAGGCCCAAAAUCUCCACUCUCUUCAACUUAGGUGCCUUUGGCUCUGAUUUGAACCUUGUAUCCUCAAAAGAUCCCAGAAUCACUCCUGCAAACUUAAAACGUUAGAGCGAUCACGAACAAUAGUUCGCGAUACCUGAGGUAAUGCCGGACGCUCCAGCGUUUGAAUCAACUCCUUCUUGAUCCAAAGCCGAGAGAACGAUACCAACAGAGCUAGCUUGUGCUGUCUUUGCAGCAGCUGCAAUGGAUUCCCCAACUCCCUUCCACGGUCUGGCCAGCGAGCUCUUCUCCAAUUUGCCAAGCCCGACAAGGCCAAUCCUCUUGAAGCCCUGCCCGGGGAUCCGCACAAACGAUGCCUGGCCGGAUUUCCCAGUGAAAUCCUCCUCCGCUGCGACAUCGGCCAGGAGCCCGUUUAAAUCCUUGUCGAGAAUUCCAAAUGCCUCAUCGCUCAUCCCGCCCUCGAACACGGCAAUUGCGAGCAAAUCCCCCUUCCACUGCGAUACGUCCAGCUCCGAGACGCGCACUUCCAGCUAGAAUCAUCACAAAGAAGAAAAGAAAAAGAAAUCCCGACAGUCAGCCAAGAGAGAUCGAAAAACCUUCGCUCUACCUCUGGAAUCGGCUGCUCCGAUGCCUUGGUGAGGCCGACCGUGGCAAGAUCAGCCGCUGGAGACGACGAAUCGAGCACCGUGCGCGCGUUUCCCACCUUUGUGGACAUAUCGCGCGUCAUGGCGGCGUAGCGGAGGCGAGGAGGAGGACGACGAUUGGAAGCGCUGGCGCACAGACAGUGUGAUGCGGCGCCUAGAACAGCGUCCGCGCCUAACCUCACAGAAACCCUAGCCAAAACGUAGGCCCGGCCCCAAGCACAUAGAGUGGCCGCCAUAGCCUAUGUUAUACUCGCCUUGGCUAUAUGACAUGGUUCCCAGGGGAAAACGCCGACGUGGACAUAAAAGUGCCGCUAGCGUGGCAAAACACAAUCACUAUGACAUGAUUAAAGUCCUGAAGAACACCGUCUCGUGUUUUCCGCCUGACACAAAGUUCAUUUCGCCCAUGCUAGGCAAUUCUUCGUACGAUCACCGCAGGCCUAGAUCGAUCCAUUCUCUGUUAGCGAGCGCUAGAAGUGGAGAACCAAAAAAUUCUUACUUCACGCUGCCAAAGUUUUGUCCCGCUCGCUCGAGAUCGCAAGUUGCAAAUCUGGCACAGUGCCAGAGAUUUUAGUCAUGAAAUGAAACAGUGUGUGGCUCCAAGAAGAACUCUUACUGCUGGCCAGAGCUUUCCUCGAUCGAAUGCGACUGGAUAAUCAAUCCACCAAAGUUUUAAGACGCUAGAGCGAGAUGAUCCAAAGGAGCAAAGGCGGUAUCUAGUGACAAAGAGAUACUUGCUUGGAGAAAAAAGACUCUUACUUCGAGGAACUCGCAGCGAGCGCUGAUUGAUGGACUGCUUUUUAAAAGCUCGCUAGCUAGUACUCGUACGUGGAUAUGUUCUUCCCGAGGAGGCUAGAAGCAAGGAAACAAACAGGGAAUUAGGCAAAAGAAGAGCCUCAAUCAGAGCCACCGACCAUUCAGUGCAUCAAAGAGCUGGCUGUGCGAAAGAAGACACUGGCCUGGUAGAUCCGUUCGUAGUCCAUUCCCAUCGCCUCUCUCGCCUCGAUUCUCGCUCGUUCUACCCCGUUUCUACACGAAAUAUCAAUUGAAUAUUGCGCAAUCGCCAAAUCCCUGGAAAAAAAGCUCUAAGAUCAUGCUUGCCGGCGCCAUUGGCACCUAGAUCUAGCGCCAGCGCUCUCAACCUCGACGAGAAAUCUCUCGCAUUGUCCAGCGCCACUCCAAGAGCCCUAAAAAUACAAACAAAUAGAUUCCCACUUUUAAAAAUCAAACGUUCCUUCCUAUUGGUGGCUCCCUUGUUGCUUGCCCGACGCGAAGCUUACACCGUUGCAUGGAGAUGCCGACGCCGAUGCCAAAAGAUUCUCGCCGGUCGAUCCACUCCUGGCCGCUGCUGCCGCCUCCAAUCUCCUCCACUUGGCCUCCCUCUUGUCCUCCACCACCUUGUGCUUGGCCUCCUCCUCCUCAAACCUCUUCUGGCACUCGCUAAACAGCUCGGGAUCCAUCUCUACCAGCAUCUUGCGGACGUUGAGCGUCAAGUUGUGGACCGUCUGGUUCCAGUGGCUCCGGCUGUUCUUCUCCAGCGAGCUGAACACCAGCGGAAGAAUCACUUGCCGGUUCUGCGCAACCAGGUUGACAAUGUGAUCGUUGUUCCAGAGAAACAGCGCUCUCUCGGCUACCUGUGCGAGAAAGAAAAACCAGUUUUUGUUAGCUUUCGAUCCUGGCAGCGUGAACACUACUGACCUGGAAGUGAGAGCUGUUGAGGCAGCGCGCGAGCUGACGAAACAACGGGACCAUACAGCGCUGGAACUCGGCGGCUUGAGUUCCUUCCAGGAUCUCCUCCAUCUCGCCCAGGAAGAGCACCUCUUUCUGGCUGUUGACAACGGGCCAGUAUUUGAGAAGCCCCCGGAUGACCGUGUCCGCCAGCUUCAGAUCCUUCUCCACGAACUGCGUGAUGCAGUACGAGAGCUGCUGGUGGUACUGCGACACGAACCUCGGCUUGUGCAGCGGGAUGAGCGCCCGGACGAGGAAGAGCUUGUGUUCUUCCUUGAGCGGCAGCGCGAAGCCGUUGAUGAUGCUCCCCAGGAUCUCGAGCAGCUCCGCGAUGCCGUUGUGCCUCUCGGUCUCGAAGAUGAACCGAUAGAAGAUGUUGUUGAUGGCCUUCCGGAUGAAUGGCCGGUGGACCAUGAACUUGCCGUAAAUCCUGUGAAGGAUGGUCUUGAGGUAGUCCCUCUCCCUGGGAUCGUCCGAGUCGAACAGGUCCAGAAGCCUCAGGACGAAGGCGUGGUCGACGUAUCUCUUGGCGAUCUUGGCGUCCGUGUCAGUCGAAACCACGUAGCGCAGCAAAAACUCGUAGACGAGCUGCAAGUGUGGCCAUGCAGGAUCCAUGAUCGGCUCCUCCUCCUCUUGCUCCAAGCUCUCCGACGACCCCGACAAAUCCCUCGCGGAUGGCGGCAAAGAUCGGUGGAUGUUGGCUGUGACCAUCUUCACAACCUCCUCCGACACCACCUCGUUGAGCUUCCCCGUCGUCCCCGAGGAGAUGUAGUCGACGAGCUCCAGCAGCGUCUGGCGCUUCAUCUCUUUCUCCUUUGGAUUCUUGGACGAGUCCGUGAAGUCGAAGGUGAUGGAGCAGAGCUUGAGCUUCCGGACGAGUAGCGCUUGGCGGUCGGAGCUGGGAACGUCCUUGAGCGACACUAGCGGAUCUGAGAAAGAGGUGGGUUGUCCAUUCAAGGAGCUCUGGAGCUCCAGAGGCUUCGCUUGCAAGCUCUGGUACUGCUGCUGCUGCUGCUGCUGCUGCUGUAUCAAAGGGCCGGAGCUACUCCUAUAAGCGGUGGCAGCAGUAGCGCUGGAUUUCCCGGCCGCCGCGCCCGCGCGACCAUUCUGAUGAGCUACCCCAUUGGAUUUCCUAUCCCCGGACGAUUCAUUGUCCACUUUGGUCGAUGCCGAGAGCUUGGGAAACCAAUACCGCCAUUUCUUCUUCAUCCCUGCGCAGGGCGAGCCUCACAUCUAGCAAUGUAUCCUUUCCCUGCCGCAGAUCCUUGCCCCAGCGGCGGCCUAAAACCCUCAAAUUCCGGAGAUCCACGCCGAUCUUACCUCGCAGCCAGCGAAUGCGCGGCAUUCUCCAUACCUCGCGAAGAACAGCCGGAUCUGUGGCCGGCAGAUCCAGCCCAUGGGGAGGCGACCCCCGCCGAUUCGUGGCCACAGUAGGGAUUGCAGCCGCGGCAGCUCAAUCGCGAGCGGAUCUUCGCUGCUCGUCCCUCAAACCCUAGGCGCUAUCUACCUAUCCAUCGCAGCCGCAAACAAUACUCUAGCAAUGAGAUAGAAUAUAUAAGUGAUUAUAGCCCCAAAGCUCUGGCAAAAUAAAUGAGAGGAUUCUAGAUCCUUGGAAUCUCCCCCCACGAAAGAAGAGCUCUUCUUCCAAUCUUGCUUUCGAUCGUUCGUUCGUCAUGCUACAUUUCUCGAUCCGGGAGGAAUGCCAGCUCCAAGCGCGCAGGAUCUCGCGGCGGCGGCGCGGCAGUGCGGCGGUGCCAGGGAUCUCGCCUCCGCCCGACGCCUGCACGCUAGGGUUUGCUCCAGCGAGCACCGUGCGAGCCUCUUCCUCGCGAAUCUGCUCAUCGAGAUGUACGGGCGAUGCGGCGGCGUGGAGGACGCGCGCCAGUUGUUCCUCUCGCUGCCGGAUCCCAAUGUUUUCUCCUGGAAUAUCAUGAUCCAGUGCCUGAUCCAGAAUGGACUCGUCGAGGAGGCAGCGGGGACGUUUGAUCAGAUGCCGGUCAGGAGCAUCGUCUCCUGGAAUUCGAUGAUCGCGGCGAAUGCUCACGCUGGAAACAUGCGCCAGGCACUGGAUCUCUUCGAUCGGAUGCCGCAGAAGGACAUCGUCUCUUGGAACUCGAUCAUCUCUGGCUACGUCCAAAACGGAGAAAUCUCGAAAGCGCUAGCUCUCUUCGAUCGGAUGCCCGAGCACGAUGUUUUCUCUUGGUCAGCGGCGAUCAUAGCAAAUGCCCAGAUAGGGAAUCUUGCGGCCGCUGUGAUCAUCUUCUCCACAAUGGCGGAGUGGAAUGUGAUCGCCUGGAACUCCAUGAUCACCUUGUACGCGCAGAAUGGAUUCCUCCGUCACGCCAAGAGCUGCUUCGAUUCGAUGCCCGAGCGAGACAUGGCUUCCUGGAAUGCGAUGCUGGCAGCAUUUGCCCAUGGCGGGAUGAUCCAAGAGGCGAUCGAUCUCUACCACCUGAUGCCACGAUGGGACACUCUCUCCUGGAACGUAAUGAUCUUCGUGUUCGCGGCGGCAGGAAAGAUCCACAGAGCCAGGGAGAUCUUCGACAGCCAGCGAGAGAGAAGCCCGAGCUCUUGGAACUCGAUGAUCGCGGCCUACGCGCAGAUGGGCGAUUUGGAAGAAGCUCGCAGGCUGCUGGAAGCGAUGGCGCUGCCGGAUCCUCUGUCCUGGGCACCACUGCUAGCUGCUUACGCACAGAAGGGAGAGAUCGCGGAAGCAAAAUCCCUGUUUGAUCGGCUGGAUCGCAACAAGAGCAUCGUCUCCGCAAACUCGAUGAUCUCGGCCUACACGAUCUCCGGCAAGAUCGACGCGGCUGCCACGAUCUUCGACCAGAUGCCCCAGAGAAAUACCGCUACUUGGAACGCGAUGCUCGCGGCGUAUGCCCAAAGCGGCGAUGUCUCCAUCACGACCAGAUUCUUCCACUCCAUGCCGGCUCGCAGUGUCGUCUCGUGGACCACCAUGAUCGCGGCAGUGAGCGAGAGCGGCGAUCCAGGCCUGGCCAGGAAGAUCUUCGACGGAAUGUUGGAUCGAAGCACUGUCUCCUGGAACUCGAUGAUCACGGGGUAUGCCAGUAACGAUCUCUCCGACCAAGCGAUUGUGCUCUUCCAGCUGAUGAUCGCGGAAGGAGUCCAGCCCGAUGAGAUCACUUUCGUGGCUGCUCUAGCCGCUUGCGCCGACUCGCAAGACUUAGAACAAGGCCAGCGAAUCCAUAGCAUGAUCGCGGAGUACGAUUCCAAGGCAACUUCCACCACCAUCGCCACCAGCGUUUCUUCGUCUCUCAUCGCCAUGUAUGGGAAGUGUGGCUGCCUCGAGACCGCUGCUCACGUCUUCCACAGCGUUGCUCGCAAGGAUCUGGUCUGCUGGAACGCGAUGAUCGCGAUUUACGGCCAAGCUGGUCACAUCGUCCGGUCCCUCGAGACCUUUCACAGCCUACACCUGGAAGGAAUGCUGCCGGAUCAAGUCACGUUCGUCUGCGUUCUAGCUGAUUGUAGCCACGCUGGUCUGCUCGAAGUUGGCUACCAGAUCUUCUGCUCGAUCACUGUGAGCUACGGACUAUCCUUGCUCGGAGAUCACUGCCGCUGCAUGGUUGAUCUCCUCGGACGCUCUGGCCGGCUGGAAGAGGCCGAGGAGUUGAUACGUUCCAUGCCAUCCCAGGCGGGGAGCUCCGCCUGGACGAGCCUGCUUGCUUCUUGCCGGAUCCAUAGCGACGCACGGCGAGCCGCCAGAGCCGGGCGGUAUGCUAAAGCACCAGUUUUGCUCACCAAUAUCCUCGUCGAAAGUCACUGAUAUUUUUUUUUUAGUUUUCCAUAGAUCAUAGGCGAGAAGUAUCGAUGAAGAACACGAAACAAUAUCCUCCGCGUAGAGCUGGAAAACGUUGAAUGCUUCGAUGCUGCAAACUUGAAAGUUGUAGCAAAAUAGACUACCUCUUCCCACAGGAGCAGCGUUUCGCAGGCGUCAAAUUCAUAUUCCAGUGGCUCGUAGAUUUUAGAUUGCCUCCUUAACAUAUUUCUAUGUCGUGCACAAGUGUGUUUAUAGUCCUACUGUGAAGCAUUCCACUAGGAACUGUAGUGUUCGUCAGCGAAUUGUUGUUAACAAGCAAGUAGCAAGAAAAAAAAUUGAAGAAAGCACAACAUGAGUUUGAUAAAACCACUGUAGUGUUUGACUCCUCGGAAUCCAUUUUUUUUAUGUUCCCAUGCGCUCCACGUGGUUGUGGUAGUAUAAAAUGGCGCAGUUUCCAGCCUAACUCUCACUCCUCUCUAGUGUGUUUCUUAUAAGAUCAUGGCUCUCACAGCAGCUCCAAAGUUCUACAGCAUCGAGUCAGUUGCUUAUCCUGGCUACUAUGUUACUCAGCAAGGCACCCAGAUUGUUCUCAAGUCCAAGGACGCGCUCAAUCCCUUCCAGGUAAUCCGUGAUCCAGAUCUCGAACUUAUCAAGAUCACGUAGAACUGAUCAAAGUUUUUAUCAUCUUGGUUUUGAUGGGUAACUCUUCUGCAGCUGUGGUACAGGGACGAGUCAUGGCAGUUCCUGACCCAGGAGAUCAGUGACCUCUCUGCGUUCGUGUUUAUAAACCACGGCUCCAAGAAAGCUCUCCGCUCCCAGGAAAUCGCAACUUCUCGACACUUUGCCAAGGUAUAGCAUCACUGCAAGUUUGUCUCACUUAAAUACGUUUGCUCAAAAUGAAAUGAAAGGCUACUGUUCGAGACUAUGAUCCGGCUGUCGAGGACGAUUCUCUCCUCUGGUCUGUUAGCCGAAGCUCGGACGAUCAAGUUUCGAUCACAAUGACUGGGAAUUCGUCUGUGUUCUUGAGCCACACUUCCUCAAGUUCCAACUUCAAAGACGGGGUACCGGUGGUGACAUCCACCAGCGGUGGAAGCUCCCGGUGGAAGCUCGUCACUUACGGUAAUCCUCUGGACUUGUGGCCAAUUCCCUUUGAUCUUCUCGUUGUGCUGCACAGAGCCUUCUCAAGUGUACAGGAUUCUGUGUCACUGGUUUGGGCAGUACUUGACUUGGAAGCAGCAAAAUGUGGACGUAACUUUCAAGGAUGCAAUCAAGCACAACGACGAGACAAACGUGGUGGCUGUUAGUCCAAACAACAUUUCUCUCGACGGCAUGGUUUGUAACUUUGAUCUGACACUAUCAUCUUGGAUCUCAAAUGUGUUAUCAUAAUAGAUAUGGUACAAGGUUCCUGCCGGAGGCCGAGACGAUACUACGUACUUCACCUCGUUCAUCCUCAUAAACAAGGUGACUGGUUUAGCACUGAAAGGGUCGACAAAGCCGGGAGACAAGGUACUCUUUGAAAACUUUGAGGAACUUUGCAAACUAAACUUGGACGAUCGUCGCAGGUGCUCUUGACUCAAUAUGAUCCUCUCGACUACGGUUUCGUGUGGUCUGAGAACCGAUUCCAGGCUUCAAACACGGACUAUCUCGCAAUCAAUCUGGAUGGAACAAACUUGCAGUGGGCUCUGCAGAACGAUGAUCAGUACCAGAACAGUGCGUGGUACCAUCCUCUCACGCUCCGCCCGGCAUCUGCAAACCAAGGAUAUCUUGAGCAGCAGGCCUGGAAAUUCAAUCCAGUGGUGGCAGGCAGUUAACCAUGAACCAUGCUGUACUCAUUACCAGUUUUCUUCUUGCAAAUAAAACUCCCUGUUUGAUUAUGAUCGGCUCGAUCAUCGUCUCCGCAAACACGAUAAUCUCAGGCUAAUCUCCGGCAAGAUCGCCUCAGCUCCCAGAAUCUUCGAGAUGUCCCGCGACUUCGUAAGCCCAAAGCGGCGAUGUCUAGAUUCUUCCACUCCAUGCCGGCUCGCAGCGGCGUCUUGUGCUCCAGGCCUGGCCAGAAAGAUCUUGUUUGAUCGAAGUCCUGUCUCUUGGAACUGUCUCUUGGGUGAUCGCGAUUUACGGCCAAGCUGGUCGCAUCGUCCGGUCCCUCCAGAUCAUUCACAGCUUCCACUUGAAAGGAAUGCUGCCGGAUCAAGUCACGUUCGUCUGCGUUCUAGCUGCGUGUAGCCACGCUGGUCUGCUCGAAGUUGCGUACGAGAACUUCUGCUCCAUCACUGUGAACUACGGGCUUUCCUUGCUCGGAGAUCACUGCCGCUGCAUGGUUGGUCUCCUCGGAUGCUCUGGCCAGCAGGAAGAGGCCGACGCAUGCCAUCGCAGCCGGUGCCUGGACGAGCCUGCUAGCUUCUUGCCGGAUCCAUAGUGACGCACGGCGAGCUGCCAGAGCCGGGCGGUAUGCUAAAGCGCCAGUUUUGCGUCCUCGUCGAGAGUCACUAUUUCCCAUGGCUGCGUUGCUCCUCCUGCUGUGGUCUGAUGCACACUAGGUCCUCGAGCUUGUUGCCGUCGAUCUUGUACAUGGUGACGCCUUCCAUGGCGCGGUAAUGGUGUUGAGCUUGACUCCUCAGGGAGUUCACGCUUGUUUUCUCCCACUUUGCGUAGUUUGAGUUCUUGCGGGUCUCGCUCAUGUCUUUUGAUCCUGACAGGCGUCCAUUUCGAGAUGAACUUCCCCAUACUUUGCAGUUCUUGAAAGCUCCAUGGUCUUUGCCAGGCUUUCGUUUGAGUCCCAUUGCUGCGUAGUAGGCUGCGUUUACUGUCGCUCGGGUCGGAAUGACCGACCAGUCUUGCUUUCUGGCUUCUCGCAUUGGAGAAUGCAGCCUCAUUGUCUGUAUACACGGAGACUGUCAAUGAUAAUCCAUAGUCGUUCUUCUUACCCCGAGGCACUCCAACAGUUGAUAGUAGGCUCUGCCUUGUAGUGGAUUGUGUCCCUUGCGAGGAGCCGAGAAGUAACGAGUCCUAUAGAUGAAAAGAAUGGUACAAUGAUAAGAAGUUGGAAGAAGUGUGAGUCAAUACCAUUCCGUGUAGCCUGGAUCCACCGUAAAACCAUACAUAUCCACCGAGUCACACAUUGACAAGGCGAGCUCCAAAGACUUAAUGCCUGUCCCUUUCGCUCCCCGACGGAAAACUACACCUUGGAACAAGUAGACAGGAUUCGGAAGAAGCUGUAAAAGAUAAAACUCAGUUAGCAAACAGCAUAGCAAGCGUCAAAGGCCCUAUUACUUUUAUUUUAGCGUUGAAGUCCCGAUGUAUAACACUCUUGAUAAUCAACACUUCAUCAUCUGCAAAAAUCCUCUUUUGCAUUAAGCCAGUACUUCGUUCAUAGACUUCUAGUACGUACCAGAUCCCUUUGCAACCUCAAGCAGGUUUCUUACUACUCCACGAGCCAUCAAUCGAAAACUCCGUUUCAUGCCAACAUGCUUUGCGUAUUUCUGUGAAAAGAAAGCAACUUUUGCGAGCUCAGUAGUACGCAACCUUUGUGAGGUGAUUACCGUGGUCACUGGUGCCUCAUUGUCUCGGAUGACAAUAUCGUGAGCAUCUAUCUCCUUUCCAAACUCCGUCUUUAAAAGGUCUCCCGAGUUCCCCACCACCGCACAGGUCCUAAACUGGCGCGGCCAAAACGGUGGCUUUGGCGGUAGUAUCAACUCGAGAUGUUCUUCGCACAGGCUUCGAUUGGAACAGUUAGCUGCACCCCUGCACAACUAGAUUAAAAACUUCCAUCAACAUCAAGCUUAGCUUACAGUUGAGCUAUUCGUUUCGCAGCGUAGUCCAUCCACCCAUCGGGACGUGCAUCCAAAUACUCGCGAGUCAAUAUCGUUGUGACGUUUCGAUACUGCAAACUCAAAAGCGUUAUUUGAAUCAAGAGCAAAAUUUGCAGCAAAUUACCUGUUCCCACAGGAGCAGCGUCUCGCAGACGUCAAAUUCAUACUCCAGUGGCUCGUAGAUUUUGAACUGCUCAUUACGCUGUACCGAGUAAACUUGUAAGCUUCGAUCACGCAAAAAUAUUGCUAGUUACUUACCCAGGUACUAUUUGUUCCCUCCGGAUAUUUCAGCACGAUCUUGCAAGCAUCCUUCACGGUUGCAGUCAAUCCAAGCCCAUUUCUCUCCUGUAAAAAGAAAGCAUUGAAGCAUCACUACUCUCCAACGAAGAAAACAAAGGAAAAAACAUAUAAGAUCGAGAAAACUUACCACGCAUUUUUGGACUUGACGCUGGAACGAAUCAAGUGUAGAAGCGUCCCGAUCUCGCAAGAAAAAGAAAAAUCCCGGGCGCUGCAAGCCUACAUUUCUCCCGCAACAAAGAUCGAUCGAUCCACAUCCAACAAUCGCAGCGAGAUACCUUCCAAGAAGAAGAGCCCUUGGGGCGCCAGGAACAGGAGGCAGAUCAGGGACACCAGCGCCGCAAUCGCAAGUGGGAGCGACAGUAGCAAGGCUCGCUGCCGCCGCUGCUGCUUGGGCGGCUGCUUCCACGCCAUUUUUCGCCCCCUCCUACGCACGGAUCAAGCGAGCUCCUCCCUGUAAACCUAGCUCGGGGAGCAAUGCUCAGCUGUCAGAUUAAAGCAGGCUCAGUUAAUUAACAUGUUAAUGGAGGUAUAGCUCAGCGGCUGCAGUCCGAUAGGUCACCAGUUCAAUCCUUCGCCAAUAAAUUCUUCUAUCAAAACAAAUCUGUCAGCGUUGGUCUUUAUAAGCUGGACGCCACCAUCGAUAACCUUUCAGCCAACGCUACAAAGUCAGUGUAAGAAGUGUAAGAAGUGUAAGGAAGUGGAAGGCAGUGUGAAACACAUGGGAUAAUGCGAGAGAAGCUUGCCACUAUAUAAAUUGGCAUACGUUCAAAGAGCUCUAUAACUUCACACUCAUCCCUUUGGCUUCUCAAAAGCUUUAGUCUUUUCUUAAGAGUUUAGAGACAUGGCUCUCACAGCAGCUCCAAAGUUCUACACCAUCGAGUCCGCUGCUUAUCCUGGCUAUUGCAUUACUCAGCAAGGCACCCAGAUUGUUCUCAGGUCCAAGGACGCGCUCAACCCCUUCCAGGUAAAAUCUUUGAAAAUCUUUGCCGGUUGUCGAUCAUCAUGGGAAACUCUUGUGCAGCUGUGGUACCGGGAUGAGUCAUGGAACUUGCUGAACCAGGACUCCGCGUUCGUGUUUGUAAACCACGGCUCUAAGAAAGCUCUCCGGUCCCAGGCACACUCAACGUCUCGAAGCAAGGUAAACAGAAAACAGUAUUCAUACUAUACACUGUUGCUGAUCAUAUGGAAUUUUGAUGGCAAAAGGCUACUAUUGGAGACUAUGAUCCGGCAGUCCAAGACGAUUAUCUCCUGUGGCGUAUUUCCGGGAGCCACGAAAAUCAAGUCUUGAUCACCAUGACUGGAAACAAGUCAUUUUUUCUGAGCCACACUUCCUCAAGUGCUAGCUUCAAGGAUGGGGUGCCAGUGGUGACAUCCAACAGCGAUGGAAACUCUCACUGGAAGCUCGUCACUUACGGUAAGCUCAUGAAUCAUAUGAUUUGUUCUUCUCGGUUGUGGCUCAUAUAUAUGAUGAUGAUGCACAGAGCCUUCUCAAGAGUACAGGAUUCUAUGCCACUGGGUUGGGCAGUACUUGACUUGGAAGCAGCAAAAUGUGGAUGUAACUUUCAAGAAUGCAAUCAAGCACAACGACGAGACAAAUGUGGUGGCUAUUCAUCCAAGCAACGUUCCUCUCGACGGCAUGGUUUGUACUUUUGUCGUUCUUUGUAAUCUUAUCUCAUUCUAUUUGAUUACAUAUAGACAUGGUACAAGGUUCCCGCUGGAGGAAGAGAUGAUACCACGUACUUCACCUCGUUCGUUCUCAUAAACAAGGUGACUGGUCUUGCUCUCAAGGGGUCAACCAAGCCGGGAGACAAGGUAACUAGUGCACACUGUUGAAAACUUGAAGAAGUUUGCAAACUAAACGAAUUGGAUGAUCAUGGCAGGUGCUCUUGACUCAAUAUGAUCCUCUCGACUACGGUUUCGUGUGGUCUGAGAACCGAUUCCAGGCUUCACUCACGGACCAUCUCGCGAUCAAUCUGGAUGGAACCAACUUGCAGUGGGCUCUGCAGAACGACGAUCAGUACCAGAACAGUGCGUGGUAUCAUCCUCUCGUGCUUCGCCCGGCAUCUGCAAACCAAGUAUUUAAUACGCAGCAGGCCUGGAAAUUCAAUCCAGUGGUGGCAGGGAAUUGACUAUCAGCCAUGUUGUAUACAUAAGGGACACGCUUACCACUUUUCUUCUUGCAAAUAACAAGACUUUUCACGGGAAAAAGAAGCUGAGCACUCCCCAUUUGUUUCCUUUUCCCAUGGAAGCCAUGAGUUUUCGUUCAUUUCCAGUGUCUGCAAGGAUCGACGAUUUAAGAUAAAACAAAAACAUUAUGACUAUCGACUAUCAUUCCAUAUAGACCAUAAAACCAUACAUAUCCACCGAGUCUAGAAUUUACUACGUACCAGAUCCCUUUGCAACCUCAAGCAGGUUUCUUACAACUCCACGAGCAUCAACCGAAAACUCCGUUUCAUGGCAACAUGCUUUGUGUAUUUCUGUGAAAUGUAAAAUAAAUAAAUAAAUCAACUUUUGUGAGCUCUCAGUAAGAUGCAAGCUCUAGAUGAUUACCGUGGUCACUGGUGCCUCAUUGUCUCAGAUGACAAUAUCGCGAGCAUCUAUGUCCUUUCCAAACUCCGUCUUCCAAGUUUCCCACCUGUCUCAAACUGGCGCGGCCAAAACAAUGGCUUUGGCGAUAGUAUAUGUUCUUGGAACAGUUAGCUGCACCCCUGCACAACGAUAUAAAAAACUUCCAUCAACGUGAAGCUUAGCUUACAGUUGUGCUAUUCGUUUCGCAGCGUAGUCCAUCCAGCCAUCGGGAAGUUUCCGAUGCUGCAACCUCAAAGUGUUACUUCCAGAGCAAUGAAGAGCAAGAAAGACCGAUCAAUUCACAUCCAACAAUCGCGGCAAGAUCUUGCCUCACCUUCGCAGAUCAGGGACGCCAGCGCCGCAAUCGCUGCCGGCUUCUUCUACGCCAUUUCUCGCUCCCUCCUCCCUCGCAUUCUCUGUCAACCUAGCCAAUCGCCUGCAGUCCGAUAGGUGACUAGUUCGAUCCUAGUUGCCUCCUUAUCCGAUGAAUCCCAUGCGCUCCACGAGGUUGUGGUGGUAUAAAAUGGGCCUAGAUCUCAGAGUUACUCUAGAUCUUAAGAAUGGAACCUCUCACAGCAGUUCCAAAGCUCUACACCAUCGAGUCCACUGCUUAUCCUGGCUACUGCAUUACUCAGCAAGGCACCCAGAUUGUUCUCAAGUUCAAGGAUGCGCUCAAUCCCUUCCAAGUAUCAAUCUGUAUCAAUCCAGAUCUAGCAUCUUGGUUUUGAUCUCUUGUGCAGCUCUGGUACAGGGAUGAGUCAUGGCAGUUCCUGGGCGAGGAUAACAGUGACCUCUCCGCGUUGGUGUUUAUAAACCACGGCUCCAAGAAAGCUCUUCGCUCCCAGUCAUCCUCAACUUCCCGGAGCAUUGCCAAGGUAUAUAAAUCACUACAAGUUUGUCUCACACUUGAAUUUUUCUCUAUCCAGCUUACUGUUGGAGAUUAUGAUCCGGCAGUCGAGAACAAUUCUCUCCUCUGGUCUAUUUCCGACGAUCAAGUCUUCGUCACAGAGACUGGGAAUUCGUCCGUGUUUUUGAGCCACACUUCGUCUUCGAGGUCCAGCUUUAAAGACGGGGUGCCAGUGGUGACAUCUGCCCAGGGUGAAAACUCUAGGUGGAAGAUCGUUGCUUAUGGUAAUCCUCUAGACUUGUGGUCAAUUCCUUUUGAUUUUCUCGUUGUGCUGCACAGUGCCUUCUCAAGUGUACAGGAUUCUGUGUCACUGGUUUGGGAAUUACUUGACUUGGAAGCAGCAAAAUGUGGACGUAACUUUCAAGGAUGCAAUCAAGCACAACGACUAGAUAAACGUGGUGGCUGUUAGUCCAAACAACAUUUCUCUCAACGGCAUGGUUUGUGACUUUGUCUGAUACUAUCAUCUUGGAUCUCAUUCGUAUUAUUGUAAUAGGCAUGGUUCAAGGUUCCUGCUGGUGGCCGAGACAAUACCACGUACUUUACCUCGUUUAUCCUAAUAAACAAGACUGGUCUAGCACUCAGGAGACAAGGUAAGUCCUAAAACUUUUGAAGGACUUUGCAAGCUAAACGAAAGAUACCUUUUUCAUGGCAGGUGCUCUUGACUCAAUUUGAUCCUCUCGACUACGGUUUUGUGUGGUCUGAGGACCGAUUCCAGGCUUCAAACACGGACUACGUGGCCAUCAAUCUGGAUGGAACGAACUUGCAGUGGUCUCUGCAGAACGACGAUCAGUACCAGAACAGUGCGUGGUAUCAUCCUCUCGUUCUUCGCCCAGGAUAUGUUGAGCAGCAGACCUGGAAAUUCAAUCCAGUGGUGAACAAUGUUUAGCUGGGACUUUU
Molecule: long non-coding RNA, 67924 nt
Filed under: Selaginella moellendorffii
Lineage: Eukaryota; Viridiplantae; Streptophyta; Lycopodiopsida; Selaginellales; Selaginellaceae
Source: RNAcentral